RNAcentral lists this long non-coding RNA (85988 nucleotides) under Prunus persica (peach). Its description in RNAcentral is "long non-coding RNA (PPER_LNC000370)". Lineage: Eukaryota; Viridiplantae; Streptophyta; Magnoliopsida; Rosales; Rosaceae. The record is from RNAcentral.
UUCUAUUGAGUACAUGAUGAAAUUAACACAAACAAUACUAGGGGCAUAAAAAGAACACCAUGAGAUUAUCAACAAAAUGAUAAUCACCCAUCAACCAGAUUAUCAGCAAAUUGAAAUUUCAUCACUUGAAAUAUGAAUACCCAUCAACCCUCUGCUUCUCUGUUUUGACCAUAUUUGAGGUGAAGGCUGGGGUUCUGGGUUCAUGGGUGCUGGGGUUACGGGCUACGGUAGAGGGUGGUAGUGGGAUAGGUUUGAGGGUUGGAGCUUGUAGGUGGUAGUCAUGGGGGAAGAAGAAAUCGUCAGGGGAAGAGGGAGAGCACACAGGAGGAGAGAGAGAGAGAGAGAGAGAGAGAGAGAGAGAGAGAGAGAGAGAGAGAGAGAGAAUUAAUUUCACUAAGUUGACGGAAAGACCAAUGAUGCAACAUGCGAUCUAAUUGAAACACCACCGUAACAAUUUAACAAUAUGAGGGACGAAAAGUAAAGUUUGGUCUUAGUCCAGGGACCAUUGCUAUAAUUUUGCCAAAAAACUAUUUGCGAUAGGUUCCCACUUCUUGUUUGACUGGUCUAGAUAUGCUUGUGUUUAUAAGGAUAUUUUCUUUUGGCAAAAAAAAAAAAAAAGAAAAAGAAAAAAAAAAGAAAGAGGAUAUUUUCGGAGAGUUGAUGAUAUUUUUCUCAAAUAAAAAGGAUAUGAUUCCCCAUAUUGAUGAUAUUUUCUCAAGCCCUUGGUGAAUCUGAUUCCUCAUUUGACCCAAAAGGACAAUUAAUAAUUGAAGAUCAAUCUAUAUCUAUAUCAGCCAGGGAUUUAUUAAUUAAAACAAAAUUAUUUUAUACAUAUCAUUAGGUCGUUGAAUAUGCUACUCUUAUCACAUUUGUAUACUACAUUCCCAUACCAUCUUAUGUGACAAAUGAGGUGGACAACCACAUUAAUUAAAUUUAUUUAACAUUUUCUUUUCUUCUAUGAUUUAUUAACACUUUAAAAAACACUGUUAAUUAACAUUUCUUUAUUAAAAAUACGCUUCAUUGAUUUAAUUGAUGUGACAUAUGAUAUGAACAUGCCACAACAUGUGGUAUAGAAAUAUGAGAUAAAAUGCGGUAAAUAUAGCAUUACUAUUUGAUGGUUUGAUUAGCAAAACAGUGUUAUUGUGUUAUAUAUAGAAUGAUAAUCUACAAAUCCUCAGUUUGGUGGAAUAUUCAUCACACAAAUUUCGAAUGUAUCUAUGGUCACAUACAUAAUUCCUAUAUAUGAUUUGGAAUUUUGUAAUACAUUUGUUAGGAUUGAAACAAGCACAAAAUUAAAAAUUAUAAAAAAAAAACACUAUUGCCAUUUCCCUAGCAUGAUAAGGUUGAAUUAAUGUCCAGUCAUCCAUUUCUCUUUAGUAUAUCCUAAAUCCUGAAUUGUACAAUAGAUUAUGCAAAUAUUAAAACCAAAGAGAUAUUAUAGAUCGAGAAUACAUGCACGAAAUACGUAUGUAGGUACGUACAUAUUCUAUCAAUUACAAGCUUAUCAUGAGGACGGGACAACUCGCUGGCAUAUUGACUGGCGGGAACUUUCACAGGGUCAAUCUUUGUUGGAUAACCACGGAAGUCAUGUCCAUUGGAAAUCCAAGUUAAGAAAAAAAAGAAAAAGAAAAAGAUACACUCUUCGCAGAUAUAUAGGGUAUAUCUAGUAGUUAAAAGGAUCACUAGGAGGAGAGGAAGAAAGGCUGACUAUGUUUCUUGUGUACCAAGAAAAUUAAGGCUAAUUGGGUCGAGGACCAUAUUCAGUAAUUACCACUCCCUUGUACAGCUCUGCUGCCUCAGUGCUAGUAAGAACGCGGCCCUUUGCCUGAUUAGGCUUCUGAGCUGGAACUUCCACCGUCUUUACAGGCCUUCUGAUCUGAUGAUGAGGAGGAGGGACAUGAUUUUGAUCCAUGUUGGGGUAUGGAUAAUAUUGUACCUGUUGAGGAGGAGGAGGAGGCCUUACGGUGACAGUCUUGGUGGGCCAGCCGCCAUGAUACUCGUCUCUCUUGGGAGGUGCUGGGAAGUAUGAAACUUCUUCUGCAGGGUAGACAUGAUCAUAUAGCACGGGAUAUGGGUGCCUGAUAUGAUAAAACACUUUCUCCUCUCUCGUGGUCAUAAAGCCUUGAUAAAAAGCCAUGCUAACUUAAUUAAAAGCUGAGAAUUGAAGUAGAACUAAUUGAUCAAGGGGAAGCUAGAGCUAGCUAGGUUUGCCUUGCCUUACUGAAACAAAGGUUAAGAGCCAAGCAACAUUAUAUAGGAGUGAGAGUCACAGAAGCUCACAAGUGGGCUGUCUGAUCGAUCUUGUGAUUUUCUUUUUAUGCUUUCCUUUUUCGUAAAAUAAUAAAAAGUAAUUCUUAUACUCUAGCAACCAACAAAUAUGAUAAGACAUUACCAUAAGAAUACUGUUCUUAUAAGUAAUUCAUGGCUUGUUUCGUAAGUCUUUUUGAAAAGAAAAAAAAAAUCAAUGGAGGAGGGACGGGAGUGCUUUCUAACAGUCUUGGUUGAGAGCUAGUUUGUGACUUGUGUUGUAAGUUGGGUCCUUGAAAGAUGGAUGGUGGGAAGUUUAAUUAGUAAUUUCGAGAAAUUCCUAUAACUUUGAGGAGUUCCAUUCUUGUGAUAUUGUAUGUUUAAUUUUAAAUAACUUGAGUUCAAGCAAAUCCAUGCAUGGCAAGUUCGAAUUUGAUAAGGAUAAUGAAAGUGAUAUAUAUUCUUUAUUGAUUUUUUUUUUUUUUUCCAGUGACGAUCUUUAAAUUGCGAAAAUUUGUUAAUAACUACUCUCGUCCGCAGUGCCUCAAUCAAAAUUGAACCUCCAAAGGAUUUGGUUAAGCAGUGAGCAAUUCUGGUAAGGUUUGGCCACGAGUUACAUAUAUAUAUCUACUACAGAGAACAUAAUGUUAGAUGUUUUGUAUUAUUUUAUUCCCCUCUUACUGGAGAGUUUUGAAUAUAUGCACAUGACUGUGGACCGUAUAACGUUACCCUUCGUAGACAUUUAUCCUUUGCAUCGACUGUGGACCGUAUAACGUUACCAAUUUGUUUUAGAUUCCAACUGCCACCAUCAAAGAAAAAGCAAUGAUAUAUACAUAAUAUGUAUCCAUGGAUAACAAGUGUUGUGGAUAAGUCAUAAGAGAUUAUAGAUUAAAUUUAUAAAUUUGCAUUGUAUUAUGAGUUCUUAUUUUUCCAUUCUUUUUUUGUUCACUUACACUUUUUUGUUUUGUGUUUGUUUUAAUACCUUUUAUUAUAACAUUUAAGGGAAUGUAAGUGGACAAAAGAGAAGUGGGAGCAUACAAUUUUCAACAAAGGGAGUGUAAACGGACAAAAGAUUAGUGGAAAAAUAUGCUCCUUAUAUUAAUAGUUAUUAAACUAGGUGCUUUCCAAUAUAUUAUUGAUGUUAUUUUCAUUGGAUUUAAAAUUGUUUCUCCCAUCUUAGAAAUGUUGAUAUAGGUAACAUUUAGUAAGGAGAAAAAACUGCAAAAGACUUAUUAUUGAUGUAAUUUUAUUUCUUGAUGAUUUGGGAAAAAAGUAUUUGUGUGGCGUGCAUAUGCUUACGAUGGCAAGUUUACGUAACAAAAUUAUUCUGGCCUAUCUCAGGCUCUGUGCUUGAUAUCUUCUUGGUAGGAAAAUAUAUUCUUGAUCAUAUAAUGUUGCUUUAAAUUACCUGUAGUGGAGGAAGCAUUUGCCUCCUGUUGCAUGUAUAUAUUUGCCCAAAUUACAAAUGGGUUACUUUAGAUUUAGAGCAUAUAUAUAUACAUAUACAGUACGUGAAUGUGAUCGAUUCCAAUUUUCCAACAGAAAAAGAUACCACAAUCCCCAGCCACAACAAUCUUGCCUGGGUCCUUAAUUGGGAUAAGAUAUUUGAAGAAGCUUGGGGAAUAAAAUGGUAUAUUCUUUUUGCAUCUCUUUCUAAUUUGCAUACUUAAUUUUCUUUUUCUUUCUACGUUCUAACUAAUAGUCUAAUCAACCUACGAGGGUUUGUUGUCGCAAUUCCUGAAAAGGAGUAAAAAGAACAUAUUCAAAGGAAAACAAAAGGAAAAAAAAGGGAGAAGAACGCUCCUUGGGGGAAAUGGGAAGGUAUUAAUUCCUUGCAUAACUUGGUAGAAGUUCACCUUCACCAUCGACACAAUCAGUUAGAAUCUUUCUUUCUCGGUUCAAAUUUCGGAAAGGAAUAUAAAAGGAAAGCUCAAUAAUUGUACGUAUAAGUUCUUCUUUACUUUUAACUAUUUUGGAUUUUUUUUAUUCAAUAACGCUAUGUGUACCAAUUUGUUUAUCAAUUUUUUAAUACCAAGUUAUCAACAUAUGUGGCACAUGACAUGGCAACCCAUGUCAUCUGCCAUCUUAUUUAUUUUAACUACAUAUUUUGUUCCUAAAAAAAGAAUUUCACCUAGCAAAAAGGGUCCUGUGCGAAACUUAAAUUGGAGCCCUCACAUAAUUUAAUAUGAAAAUACUAAAAAAAAAAGUUGCCAUGACUUAAUUUCAUCAUCAAUUAACAUGUAAUAACAAUCACAAAUCAAAUUCAUAAUUUAUUUUAUUUUAUUUUAAAUGUUUUCAUUUGAUAAAGUUAAAUAUUAGUAUGUUUGGUAAAAAAAAAUAAGAGUUCAAGAGAAAGAAGAAGGCAUGAUUUUUUAUUUUUUGGUUUAAUUUUGAGAGGAAGAAAGUAUGUUUUUAGGAGAAAGCGUAUGGGUGUGAUAUAUUAGUUUAGUUGGAUCCACCUCUACCAAAUACACUUAUCAAUGUGUUGCACGCUAGAUUAUAUAUACACUUUUUAUAAUAUUAAAAUAUAAUAUAAAGUAAAAAAAAAUUCAGGGGCUCUAAAAAAUUAGGGACCUUAUGCAGUGGCGCCACUUACACCAUACUAGGGCAAUCCAUGGAUGAGAAGUUGCUAAGUCAGUCGAUGGCGAACCUUUAGAAUUAGGAGAGUAGUCAUUAUAGUGCAUCUGAUACUCUUUUUUUCUUUGUUAUUUUCUUGUUUUCUUUUGUUUUCUUUUUUUUUUUUAAAUUAUAAAUUUUAUAAUAAUAAUAAAUUUCCGUGAAAAAUGAUUACAUAACAAACAAGAGAGAGUAUGCAGGAGGGACUAGCAUUAAAUAUAUUUUAUAUAGCAUAGGGCCAUCUCCAACAAUGAGAGGCAAAAUCCAAAAUUUGGGAUUUUUAGCCCAAAACCUUCUCCAACCUAUGUAUUUGAGAGAGGGAAAUUUGAGUAGACUGAAAAAUGGGGUGGAAUUUGGCCCCAGAUUCCAGUCCAGACAGAGUUUUUAUGGGGCCUAAUUCCCAGCAAAUAAGAGUCAUGUGGGCCUCAUUUGAAGCAAAUGAUAGGCUAUUGCCCACUACCCCAAGUUGCUGGCCAAAGCCUAGGCAACUUAAAAAUUGGACUUCUAUGGCUGCAUUUCAAAUGGGCUUCUUUCAAAUUUUUUUUUUCAAACCCAAAGGCUAGAAAUCAAUGGCUGAUAUUAAAUUCUGGUUGGAUCAAAGGGAAAAAAAUAAUCCAACAGUUGGAAUUUAAAUCCAAAGGUAAAAAUAAGUAAAUAUAUUAUUCUAAGUUGGAUGCAACCUCCAAACAUAUCCUAAACUCUAUAAAUACCCAUCAAUUUGUUAAUAAAAUUAUGUUUGUGAAAUUUCAAAAAUUUUAUGUCACAAUGUUCAAAAAAAUAAAUCACGGAUAUUCAAAAUUUAAUUUAAAAAAAUUAACCACAAAAAUAAAAUAGGAUUAUAUAUUUUUUUAAUAAUUUAAUAAAGUUGCGGACUCAAAUUAUGAGUCGGCAAGGCUGGAGGAAAAAACAAUUUAAGUCCUAAAAAUACAUGAAUAGUUGUAUUUUGAAGGGUGAAAUUUUGGGUUUGAGUCCUCUAGAGUUGAAGAUGGCUUAAGAAGUGAUUUCUACAUAUAAUUAUAAGCCGAACAUAUAAAGAUUAGGCUAGCUAUCCAAACCACUUCUACAUCUGAUAUACAUAUAUUUGUUUAUUUUAUAUAAAUACCACCACAAAAAUAGAAUAAACAGUUCCGCAGAACAACAGUAAACUUCUAAUACUCAAAAAACACAUCAUUUAGCUUACAUAAUAGCUUACUUAUUUGAAAUAUGUAUUAGUAAUAUUUCAAAUUACAGAAGUGCCUUAUAAAGUAUUGAAUGUAUGGAAGAUUCUUUGGAGCUAAGAAUUUCGUGGCAGGUUGACCCAUGGAUAAGGUUGGUACAAAACACAUUAAUGAAAAAGAGGAAUAAGCACAAAUUGUGGGAGGUGAAGAUAUUUCUUUCUGGAGAGGGUGACAGGAAUAAAUAUCAUAGUUUAUCUGGGUUUUUUUUCGUUGUUUGAGAACUGCAUAUAAUGGAUCUUUCAAAUAAACUUAUUUGAGGGAUAUUUUUGUAAAGUUCAAUUUGUAUUGUAUAUAUUUAAACAAUUCACAGAUCAAACUGUUUAUUUCAUAAAUUAUCUUUUUUAAAAAUCACACAAAUUAAGAGCUAGAUGUGACAAAUUAAUCUCUAAAUAAACUUAUUUAAGGGGUAUUUUGUAGAAUUCAAUUUGUAUUAUAUUUCAACAAUUUGAACCAUCUAUAUAUCAUAGAUGAUAUCUCUUUAAAAAAGCACCCCAAUUGAUUUUUUUUUAUUUUUAUAACCAUUAUGAUGUAGGACAAAUUAUGAGAGAGAGAGAGAGAGAGAGAGAGAGAGAGAGAGAGAGUAAAAACUCACACGAUGGAGUAGUACUGAUACUGCAAGUUGGGAAUAAUUAGAAAGAUGUUGGAGUACAAGUUUUUGCGCGAUGGAAAAACUCAUUUUGUGCGACGGAAAAAUGGUUUUUUGCGACGGCAUUUUGCGUGACGAAAUAUAUGGUUCGUCGCGCAAAGUCCUUCUUCUUCAUAUCAGAAUUCUGCAAUUGCAGAGGCAGAAAGCAAAAAAAUUUCCUUUCUUCCUCUCUCUCAACCUCUCUGCUGCUGCCUCUGCUGGAAAUUCAGUACGUUCAUUGGGUAAGUAUUUUUUAUUGUUAGUUUAUAAGUAUUAAUGUAAAUUCGUACUAACGCUAUUAAUUUUUUUCUCGUUAGGGAUAUUUGUAAUUAGUGAUUGGUGGAGAACGAUUGAUAAUGUAUUUUAUUCGUUUUAUAUAUUAAAAAUGUUAAAGUUAGUUUGUUAUGUGUAUAUUUUUUUUGUGAAGUUAUAUUUAUAUUAUGUUGUUAAAUUGUGUGUGACGUAGCACAAUGUGUUGUGAUGUACGAAGUUAAUUGAAAUUAACUUCGUACUUUUAUUUGUAUGUUUUGUAAUAUUUAGUUUCCCGUUUGAGAUUAGUUGGAUUUCGUACAUGGAUGCGUAAAGCAUGACUGCGGUCCAAUUAAUUCUUGAAUUGUCCCACUAUUUGGACAGUUUGGUAAUGCAUAGUUAGUCACGUAAUCUACGGCUACAGAAUUAGGUUUCGAUUGUGGAGAUUUCGGUGUCAUCUCGGUUCGUUUUUUGGGUGAUACGUAUGUAUUUAUACCUAUGCCCACCUCAAGAACUGUAUCGAGAUGCUGCCGAAAUUCAUCCAUGUCGAAAUCUAAUCUUAUGUAGCCGUAGGUUACGUGACAGGACUAUACAUUCCCGAAUGGGAUAGGGCCCUUACUGGAGGCAUAAGGUGAUAUUAUAACUUCAUAUGAAGUUGUUGUGAUUGUUAUGUUGUGAUUGUGGUUUCAGGAAUUAUAAGCAGAAGGUGGAUACAGAACCCGAAUAGAUGUCACAUCCCGGGAUCGGCUCCGUCGUAGCACGAUAUUGUCCGCUUUGGGCCCCUUCUCUGCCCUCAUGAUUUUGUUUCUGGGAGCUCACGAGCAACUUCCCAGUGGGUCACCCAUCCUGGGAUAGCUCUGGCCUCCAACUCGCUUAACUUCGGAGUUCCUACGACUCCGAAGCCAGUGAGCUCCCAAAAGGCCUAGUGCUAGAUGGAUGCGGGUGUGCACAUAUAAUGCACAUCACCCCCUCUCCGUUGGUUGAUGUGGGAUCUUACAAUAAUUGUCAUAUUCCGGGAUCGGCUCCGCCGUAGCACGAUAUUGUCCGCUUUGGGCUCCCCUCUCUGGCCCGCACGGUUUUGUUUCUGGGAGCUCACGAGCAACUUCCCAGUGGGUCACCCAUCCUGGGAUUGCUCUAGCCCCCACCUCGCUUAACUUCGGAGUUCCUACGACUCCGAAGCCAGUGAGCUCCCAAAAGGCCUCGUGCUAGAUGGAUGCGGGUGUGCACAUAUAAGGCACAUCACCCCCUCUCCGUUGAUUGAUGUGGGAUUUUACAAUCCACCCCCCUUAAGGGCCCGACGUCCUCCUCGGCACACUCGCACCACACGGCAGAGUGGCUCUGAUACCAAAUUGUCACAUCCCGGGAUCGGCUCCGCCGUAGCACGAUAUUGUCCGCUUUGGGCCCCUCUCUCUGGCCCGCACAGUUUUGUUUCUGGGAGCUCACGAGCAACUUCCCAGUGGGUCACUCAUCCUGGGAUUGCUCUAGCCCCCAACUCGCUUAACUUCGGAGUUCCUACGACUCCGAAGCCAGUGAGCUCCCAAAAGGCCUCGUGCUAGAUGGAUGCGGGUGUGCACAUAUAAGGCACAUCACCCCCUCUCCGUUGGUUGAUGUGAGAUCUUACAAUAGAUGCGCAGACGAAUACUUGGAUGGGAUCGAGGAUUUUAUUAAGUUUGCACGUAGACACAACCCGGGUGCAACUAGAAUCCGAUGUCCUUGUAGGAGGUGUAAUAACACGUUGUGGGAGACAAUUGAAAAUGUUGGAUUUCAUUUAGUAAGGAAUGGAAUGAUUGAGACAUAUAGCAUUUGGUACCUUCAUGGGGAACAAUUAGACCAUGCUUCGUCUUCAAAUGCCACAAGAAUGGACAGUAUUGAACCUAUUGUGGAUCAUAAUGAUCAAGUCAUGGAUAUUAUACAUGAUGCUUUUCCAUUUGCAUCGACCAACAUCAAUCACGAAAGGAAAGAUGACGUGCCUACACCAAUAGACAGCGCGGAGUUUGAACAAUAUGAAAAACUGUUAAAAAAUGCCAACCAAGAGCUGUACCCGGGGUGCGAGAGCUUUUCCGUUCUCACGACCAUUGUAGAACUAAUGCACGAAAAAAUAAAGUAUCGUAUGUCGAACCUGUGUUUCGAUUACUUUUUGGGGGUUUUCAAGAGAAUGCUUCUGACGGACAAUUGUUUGCCGAAAGACCAUAAACACGCGCAGAAGGUGUUGAAUGGUCUUAGAUUGGGUUAUGAAAAAAUUCAUGCUUGCAAAAAUAAUUGCAUGUUAUUUUACAAUGAGCAUGAAAUGUUGGAUACAUGCCCUAUAUGUAAUGAGUCGAGGUUCAAAAUGACAUCUUAGAACAGAAUGACUAAGAUCCCACAAAAAGUCAUGCGUUAUCUGCCCCUAAAACCUAGGUUGCAGCGAUUGUAUAUGUCGACGCAUACUGCCACAGACAUGAGAUGACAUAAGGAAAAACGGGUAGACGAUGAUGUGAUGCGGCAUCCUGCAGAUGGGGAGGCAUGGAAAGAGUUCGAUCGAACGUUCCCCGAGUUUGCUGCUGAUCCCCGAAAUGUGAGAUUGUGACUUGCCACUGACGGAUUCAAUCCGUAUGGGGUUCUAAACCAACACCACAACACUUGGCCGAUUUUCGUAUUCCCAUAUAAUUUGCCGCCUUGGAAAUGCAUGAAAAAAGAAUACAUGAUGAUAACUGUUUUGAUAACUGAGGAUCCUAGGAGGUCAAUCGAUGUUUACUUAAGGCUACUGGUUGAUGAGCUGAAGGAUUUAUGGACAAACGGUGUUCGCACGUACGAUAAAUCAACUAGGAAGAUGUUCACUUUGUGGGCAACAGUUAUGUGGACUGUGAAUGAUUUUCCAGCAUAUGCAAUGGUUUCUGGGUGGAGCACAAAGGGUUAUAUGACAUGUCCUAUAUGCAAGGAAGAUGUAACUUCUGGUUGGCAUGCGGGAAAAGUUUGUUACCUUGGUCAUCGGAGAUGGUUGCCAUGGGACCACGAGUGGCGGGAAAAAGAUAAAGAGUUCGACGGAAACACAGAGCUUCGCCUUAGACCUAGAGAAUGGUCCGGUGAUGAGAUCUUAGAACAGCUUAACCGUUUGGAUUUUGCUCCGUUCGGAAAAACAGUUAGUCAGACUAGACCUUCUACACAUAUGAACUGGACUCACAAGCCUAUGUUUUUUGAGCUCCCAUAUUGGUCGAAACUCAAAUUGAGGCACAAUCUAGAUGUGAUGCAUGUUGAGAAAAAUGUAUUUGACACAUUGGUGGGCACGAUUCUAGAUAUCGAGGGCAAGACAAAGGACACAAUCAAAGCCCGUCUUGAUUUGGAAAGAAUGGGCAUACAAAGGGGUUUAUGGAUGAACAGGGACAGUGAUAAAGCUAGAAGGGAUCUUGCAUUCUUUUCUAUGAAACCGAAUGACAAAAAAGAGUUUAUAAAGUUUGUAUCGUCUGUAAAGUUUCCUGAUAGGUAUGCUUCUAAUAUCGCACGUUGCGUGAAUGUUGACGGGGGUAAAUUUACUGGACUGAAGAGCCAUGACUGCCAUGUGUUUAUGCAACGCCUACUUCCUGUGGGUAUUCGACAUCUAUUGCUGUAAGAUGUUGUGAAGCCAAUCAUGUUGUUGUCCAGAUUUUUUUCCCAACUGACGGCAAAAACAUUGCGAAAGACAGACAUGUUUCAGUUGCGCCAUGACAUUGUCCAAGUCUUAUGCAAGUUUGAGAUGAUAUUUCCUCCAGUUUUCUUCACAAGUAUGAUGCAUUUGAUGGUUCACUUGCCAAAAGAGGCAUUGCUUGCUGGUCCUGUCAACUAUCGCUAGAUGUAUCCAAUAGAAAGGUAUAUAAUCCUUAUCGUUUGUGUAUGCAUCAUUAUCACAGACUUACUAAUUUGUAUCAUAUCGUUUUAUUUUGACAGGCUUCUCGGAGAGCUGAAAAAAAGUGUACGCAAUAGGGCGAAGCCCGAAGGAUCAAUUAUAGAGGCUUGGGUUCAAUAUGAGUCGCUUACUUUCUGUGGAAUGUAUUUAAAAGAUGUGGAGACGGCUUUCAAUCAUCCUCAGAGCAAUAACGACGGAGGUAUGAGAAAGGAAAAACUUUCUGUUUUUGCCCAAAGCGCACGACCCUUUGGAGAUCUUGGACGAGGAGAGUCGUUUUCUAGAAAUGACAUGGAGGUAGCACAUUGGUUCAUACUGAACAAUUGUGAUAAGAUAAUGGCAUACUUAGAUAAGCAUGAAGAGAUGAUGAAGCGAGAACAUCCAUCACAUUUAGUUGCCCGGAAACACCGUGAAUUGUUUCCACAAUGGUUUUUGGAUUCUAUAAGUUAUAAGUGUUUUGUAUUUGACAAAUAUAAAUUGUAGUAUUUAAUUUUGUCAGACUAACAUGUGAAUGGUUUUGUAUUAUAUUAGGUGAAUAAGUUGAAGUCAUCGAAUUCCCCCACUUACAGUGAUGAGUUAUAUAACUUGGCGUUCGGCCCGAUUCGCGCUGAAUUAUUUUCGGGUUGUUUUAUUAAUGGCGUCAAAUUUUUGGGGGCUGCACGAGAUGACAAGUUGUGUACGCAAAACAGCGGUGUCCAUGUCCCAGGUGGAGGCGAAAGUACGAACAUUGAUUUCUAUGGCAAACUCACAACUGUCGUUCAAUUGCUUUACAAAGAUCGAUACCAAGUGAUCAUGUUUAAGUGUCGAUGGUUUGAUAGCAACCCAAAUAUGCCGGAAAGUGUUAAAAUCGACCAUGGCUUACUAUCUGUGAACAUUAACAGAACUUGGUAUGAUGACGACCCUUACAUUUUAGCAAACAUGAUAACACAAAUUGUGUAUCUAGAUGACCCUAAAGCCGGGAGCAGUUGGAAAGUUGUUCAGAAGAUGGAUCAUAGGAACGUGCAUGCUAUACCUGAACUAGACCCAACUGACAACGACGUCGACAAUGUGACUGACCAACGUUUAGAAUCUUCAAUGAAAAAUGAUACGGAAACACUUCGAGAUACACAAGUUAUACAAGAACCGUUUCAAAUACAAGGAAUGUCUUCAAUCGAAAUACCGAUUCAGUCAAUUACAAUUGACCUCGAGGAUCUUCCAAGAUUCGAUGUUGCAGUGGGCCCGAGCAACGAAGAUGAUGUAGUUAUAGAGGAGGAUGAGAAGGAUUGGGAGACCGAAAGUGAUAAUAGCGACGAUAACGAAAGUUAUUAUAGUUCAGAUGAGGAAUAAUUAAAUUUUUUGUAAUUUUAUUAUGCUAGUGUACAUGACAGGACCCGAUCCAAAUUUCGCUUUGGAAUCCGAGUCAGACCCUGUGCGUGUCCGACACUGGCAAAUAUCGGGCACAAAUGACCUAUUUGCCCUUCUAUACAAAACACAAUAAAAUAACAAGGUUGACUUCUACCGAAAAACCGGCAGAGUUUCCCUUGUAACUGGCUUAAUACCAAAACAUUUUCACCUGUCAAAACAAGUAUAUAUAUACAACCAACUGCCAGCAUACAUAUAUAUACAUUCCAACAGUUCAAAUCUCAGUCUAGGGCAAAACAUCAGAGCGACUACUAAAUGUACAAAAGAGUGAAUCUGUUUACAAAACAAAAUCCUACAUCAAAAGAAAGGCGCGGAAGAUGGGAAGUGGCCCGGUGGUGGAUUCCUGUGCACGUCUACUGCCUGGGGGCGCAAAACAACAAUAAGGGUGAGUGGACCCAAAACAAAGCUUAGAAAAUAAUAUAUGCACAUACUAACCCCACUGUAAAAACAGUUAUACAAACUAACUUAUUUUCUUUAUUUCUGAAAUCAAUGCAUGUAUAUAAUUAUAUACAUUUGAAAACAGUUUAAACUAUCACCUAGGUGUACCCUUAUUUCCGUCAAUUCCUUAUAUCCGUCAAUUCCUUGCAUCACCAUGGGUGACACAUACUCGCAGAUCUCAGUGACACGAAGUCAGUCUGAGCCGCAACUCGCAGGAUUCAGGGGACCGUAGUCCACCUUUAUCCGCAGUACUCGCUCCACACGAGUUCGAGUACCAAGGAACUCGUGGGGCAACUGUCAAGCAUGCUGAUUAAACCGAAGGCAACAAAUAUAAUCCGAAGGCAACAUUUAAUAUCUGGGUACUAGGUGGUUUGAGAAAAUAUAAAGUUUCUGAAGAAAAUCUGUUGAAUAAUUAACUUUCUGUAAUCUUUAAAAUUCUGCUGCCAUUUAUAUGAUAAUUAAAGAGAAUAUCUGUUCAUAUAAGCUUUAAAGGAAAUUUCACUUGGCAGCAUGCAACAUAAAAUAGUUAACAGCAUAAAACAGCUUAUAACUGAAACUGAACAGUUUAAAUUCAUUAUUAAAACAAAGAGUCCACUCACUGAUAGUCUGAGCUCGCUGGACCUCUUGAAGGUCCCUCCUGCGGGUCAACUGGUACCCGGGUGCCUGAUUCAAUGACCAUAUAUUCUAUUAAUACUGUGGGAGCAUAUAUUUUCGUCUCCAAUCAGGGCACGCCACGUGGAAAAGAAGAUUAUCUCUUUAAUUAAUUAAUUAAAUCAGUUUAUCUGGCUAAUUAAUUAAUUGAGAUAAAUAUCUUAAUUAAUAUGAUAUUAUCUUUAUUUAAAGAGAUAAUAUCAUUAAUUAAGAUAUUAUCACAAUAAAGAGAAGAUAAUAUCAUUUAAAUCAGAUAUUAUCUUCUUAAGAGAUAAUGUCUAUUUAAUUCAGAUAUUAUCAGGCCCAUUCCUGCGAAACCCUAGCCCCGAGGCUCCUAUAAAUAGACGACCUCAUUCAUCAUUCAAGGUACAUCUAAACCUACUCCUUAUACCCGAGAAAAAGACCCGAAGCUCUCUCUCCAUCUCCACUCUCCAUAUUUUCUCCCCAAGGCUCCGGCCACCACACACGGCUCCGGCCACCCGGUUUACACCCUACAUAAAACUCCGUACCCUUUGCUUAGCUAUUGUUUUCCUACAAACACUCGAACUAACUUAGGCAUCGGAAGGCCUUUGACCAACACCCCCCGGGUGUGGUCUAUUUACUCCAGUCUUUUUUACAGGAAUCGAGGAAGAGAGAGAAGGAAGAUCGAAGGUUAAAGGAUCUAGAAGCGAAUAUUCUCCCGUGAGAUUAUUUGCACAAACAUUUGGUGCUUUCAUUGAGAGUGCGAGUUAUACUCAACGCGUGCUCAAGGAAUCCGUUCCUCCUAUUUUCCAAUCCACCGAAGCCUUCCAAACAACCAUGGUUGGAAGCAAGCGCACGAGGAGCAAAACCGCCGCUAUGGCUCAAUCCGUGAAGGCCCAAAGCUACUCCUCCCACGAUCCCGCGAUCGACAUGGCGGCCCCACCACCUCUCGCCGCCAUGAACCCUCAACAGCCACCCCGUGUGACUGGAACCACCGUACCGGCCUCCACCGCCGUCGUACCGUCUCAAGGCCCCAUGGCCGGACCUAGCCACCUUCAUAGCACCACCGUUGAGCAUGGUGGAACCUCACAUCCAGUUGGGCUCACUACCACCGUCGACUUUGGCCCAAUCUUGGAGCAACUUCAACCAUUCCCUCCAUUGCCUCCACGCUCGACGCAUGCUCCCACGCACACAUCCAACGAAAACCUAGCCCGUGUGCAAUUAGGCUCUACACAUUUCUCUCCUCCCGAUCCACGAAGUCAAGCAGACCUUAAUCUGAGAGUUGACCAGCUAACUCAGAGAAUGGACGACCAAAACAAUUUGAUGAGGCAAUUCCUCAAUCAAAUAAAUUUGGCUCAAAACCUUGGCCUUGGACAACAGGGCGAAGAGAGAAGGAUAAACGAACGCGCCGAUAGGCAGUUCGGUGGGAACCAAGCAGGUCAAGCAGGAGUAAGCAGACAAGGAAAUGCGCAACAACGAGAUCAGCUCGCGGACAUGUCGCAAGCAUCCGCAAGCCACACUCAAAGCAGACGAAGUUUCCCAUCCAGAUUGAAUUUAGGGACCAACGUGCGCGAUAGGCUGGGCCCAAGACCUGACAUCCACGCUCGCCUGGGCCAGCAUGAAGACGUUCAUGAAAGGCUAGGCUCCCAGGGAGGUCAACUUGACGGCCAUCGAGACGAGGAUCGAGAAGAAAGGCGCUCUGCUGCCCGCUCACAGAGAAAUAUUCACGAAAGGAUAGGCCCCCAGGGAGGUCAGCUCGACAAUCAUCACAAUGAGGACCGUGAAGAAAGGCGCUCCGCUACUCGCUCUCGAAGAACCAAUUCUCGUUGCCAAACUACUGGAAAUCCCUCGCAAGCGCAGUCCACCAACACGCCGUCUAGACAGCGUAACCGAGAAGGUCGACCCUCGCAAACCAAUGAGGAAGUCAAUCAGCAUCGCCUAAAUCGCGAAGGUCAUCAACAUGACCGACUAGCCAUGCGUGCAGAAGACGUUGAGAAGCUUGUGAAUAACCGACUUCGAGACUUAAAGAUUGACGGAAAUUUCGAAGACGCACUACGCAUUGAGGUAGACCAAGCAAACUCCUCACCUUUCACCGCCAAAAUCGAGCAGGCUCCCCCCCCAAAAAAGAUUCUCAACGCCCUCUUUCACAUGCUUCAAAGGCGAUUCCGACCCUGAAAGUCAUCUGAAGCAUUUCAAGAGCCUUAUAAUCCUCUACAAAGCCGAAGACGCGCUGAUGUGCAAGGUGUUUGCAAUGACUUUGCGAGGAGCAGCUCAAGAUUGGUUCCAUAUCCUGCCAUCCGGGUCGAUCAACAGCUUCAAGGAGCUUACUUACGUCUUCACUAAAGAAUACACUUCUUAUCGGACGAUCAAGAAGAACCCUGACCAUCUGUUUAACCUACGCAAGAAGCCCGAGGAAUCCCUUCGAGAUUACAUCAAGAGGUUCAAAGCAGAAAAGGCCAACAUCGUAGGGUGCGAUGACCAAAUCGCAUCCUCUGCAUUCAAGAAAGGUCUUCCAGCAGAACAUGACUUAUACCGCGAGCUGACUAUCACUCCCAGCCAGACUCUGGCAGAGGUCUUCACGACUGCAGAACGCUACGCACUCUGGGAUGACGAUCGAAUCGCCGCGAAGAAGUCCACUGAGCAGGAAGAUCGACCGGCCAAACGGGCAGAACAAAGAGGCGACAGGCUUGGCAGCAGGGACAAAGACAAAGGCAGGUCACGCCCACAAAGAGAGGCCACGACGAAAGAGAACUACACCAAGUUCUCUAUCCCCAUACAUCAAAUUCUAGCCCAAGUGAAGAACAAACCUUGGGUAAAAAGACCGCCACCCUUGAAAGGAGAUCCGGACAAGAGGGAUACCAGAAAAUAUUGUGCCUUCCAUGCGACACAUGGGCACAAUACGAAUAAUUGCUUUGCUUGGAAAGCGCAUCUCGAAGAACUCGUAAGAGAAGGUCAUUGCACGGAGUUCAUCGCGAAGCAAGCCAUCCAGCAGAUAGAAGACCGUGAUACCGCCAAGGAGCCACCCCAGAAGGUCAUAAGGAUUAACACAAUCCUAGCCGACUCUGAGAAGUCCGGACUGACCAACAAAGAAAAGAAGAGGAAGAUCAAACAGGCUACUAUGAUCUCCCAAGUCUCAACUAGUUUCUCACUAGCAGAAGACGAUCCCGUGAUCGGCUUUCAAAAGAAAGACUUAAUCGGCCUUGAUCUACCGCACAACGACGCCCUUGUCAUCAGCAUUCAAAUCGCUCAGGCCAUGGUCGACCGAGUCCAUAUAGAUGAGGGCAGUGCAGCCAACAUCCUACAAUUGGCAGUCGUCCAACAGAUGGGCUUAGAGGCAAAGAUCAAUAAAUCAGCCAAGUCGCUGACUGGUUUCAAUGGCGCAACGACAGUUACCGUUGGCACGAUAGAUCUCGACGUCUACUCUCCACCUGUAAUCAGCUCGCAAACGUUCAUGGUCAUUGAUGAAAUCUCACCCUACAAUGGCAUUCUAGGCAGACCAUGGAUCGGCAAGAUCAACGCCAUCACCUCUGCCACACAUCAGAAGAUUCGCUACCCAAUCCCUGGGGGCGGUAUCGGCCAGAUCAACAGUGAUCAGGCAAUGGCAAGAAAAUGCUCAGCUCAAGGGCUGAAGAAAAGCAAGCAAACACAGUUCCUCCCUGUGAAUCAGGCAGAUCUAAAGGGAGUAGAACAAGCAGAGGAGAAAGCAGAUCUCAUUCCUGACGGCCGAGCAGACCAGAAAGGAAAAGGAAUAGCUACUCCCCAAUAGCAAUCAAAGAAUCAGGACCAAGUCGAGGGAAUCUGUCCGGAGGUCUCUCCUGAAGAGGGAUGGAAGCCUGAAGAGGACGUUGAGCUAGUACCCCUUGAUCCUGACAAGCCAGAGAGAAAAGCGCGGAUCGGCUCGCGCCUAAGCCAUGAGGAAAAGAUAGAGCUUGCAGCCUUCCUCCGGAACAACAAAGACGUAUUUGCAUGGUCGCCAUCCGACAUGCCUGGCAUCGAUCCCCAGAUCAUCUGCCAUCCAUCAAACCUGUAGCGCAGAAGAGACGUAACUUCGCCCCCGAGCGGGUUGCCAUCAUUGAAACCGAGAUCGAUAAGCUUCUAGCUGCUGGUUUCAUCGAAGAAGUCUCCUACGCAGAAUGGCUGGCGAACAUUGUUCUAGUGGCAAAAAAAGAUAAAGGUCUGUGGAGAGUGUGCGUCGACUACACCGACCUCAACAAGGCAUGCCCUAAAGACAACUUUCCACUGCUUAGAAUUGAUCAGCUCGUCGAUUCAACUUCCGGCAACCAACUGCUAAGCUUCAUGGACGCCUACUCCGGCUACAACCAAAUCAUGAUGCAUGAAGAUGACAAGGCUAAAACCUCUUUCAUCAUCGAAAGAGGUACAUACUGCUACAAAGUCAUGCCCUUUGGGCUGAAGAACGCCGGAGCAACCUACCAAAGGCUGGUGAACAAAAUUUUCAAGGAGCAAAUCGGCAAGACUAUGGAGGUCUACGUAGACGACAUGCUAGUCAAAGCUCCCGAGCGAGCAGACCACAUCAAGAACCUUGCCGAGGCAUUCAGCCUACUCCGAAAAUACAACAUGAAGUUGAACCCGAGCAAAUGCACGUUUGGAGUCUCGACCGGCCGAUUCCUGGGAUACUUAGUCACCCAAAGAGGAAUUGAAGCACAUCCAAAUCAAAUCAAGGCUAUACUCGACAUGACGUCACCUGCCACAACAAAGGAGAUACAAAGUCUAACGGGUAGGGCGGCAGCCCUCAACCGAUUCCUCUCAAAAUCUACCGACAAGUGCAGGCCAUUUUUUAAAGCCUUGAAGAAAGGACAUAGGGACAAGUGGGAUGACGAGUGUGAAGUAGCUUUUUAAAACUUGAAAACCUACCUCACUUCACCUCCCUUACUCUCAAAACCGAUACCAGGCGAAGACUUGUACAUCUACCUGGCGGUGUCCGACUCAGCUGUCAGCUCAGCUCUCAUCCGAGAAGAGCUGGGGCCACAACAUCCGGUAUUCUACACUUCAAAAGCUCUCCUUGAUGCAGAGACUCGCUAUCCGAAAAUGGAGAAGCUCAUUUUUUCGCUUGUAGUUUCCGCGAGAAAACUAAGGCCCUACUACCAAGCACACCGGAUAAUUGUCAUAACAGAAUUUCCUUUGAGAUCGAUCCUCCACAGCCCCGACGCUUCUCAGCGACUCAUGAAAUGAGCUAUCGAACUCAGUCAAUACGACCUCCUCUACCGGCCGAAGACUGCUAUAAAAGCCCAAGCUUUAGCAGAUUUUAUUGUAGAGUUUACUCCGACAGCCGAAGAAGAGAAGAUGGUCAUGAAAAGCAAGGAAAAAGCAGACGACACCUCCCCUGCCGAUUCAAACCUACCUAACGACAUGUGGCAAUUGCAUGUAGACGGAGCAUCAAAUCAUAAAGGAUCAGGGGCAGGCGUCGUCAUAACCACCCCAGACGGAACCUUGUUGGAACAAGCCAUCACACUAGGCUUUUCUGCGUCAAACAACGAGGCAGAAUAUGAGGCAUUGCUCGCAGGACUGCGCCUAGCAAAAGAACUGACAAUCAAGAGAUUAGCCAUCUACUCAGACUCCCAGCUGAUCACGAAUCAAGCCUCAGGCGAGUACAUGGCAAAACAUCCAAGAAUGAUUCAGUACCUCGACAAAGUCCAAGGACUUUUGAAAGAAUUUCCUACUUUCACCAUCCAACAAGUUCCACGGGCAGAGAACACUCAUGCAGAUGCGUUGGCAAGCCUAGGAUCAGCGCUGGACACCCAGUUCAGACGCUCCAUCCCAGUCGAACACCUUGACCGACCAAGCAUCGAUGAAAUAAAGCCAAUCGACUCAAUGCAGAUCGAUAAAGACCCCAGCUGGCAAGACCCCAUCAUCGACUACUUGGUGAAUGGAAAUCUGCCAACGGAUAAGUCCGAAGCUAGGAAGGUCCAACAGAAAGCCGCGAGAUAUUACAUGCAAGGCGACAAACUCGUUCGCAGAUCAUACUCCGGCCCUCAUCUCACUUGCAUAAAGUACCCUCAAACACUUGAGGUCCUCUGCAAAAUUCAUGACGGCGAGUGUGGCAACCACUCUGGGGGCAGGUCACUCGCCCAGAAGGCUCUAAACGUAGGCUAUUUCUGGCCUACUGUGCGCCAUGACUCUACUGAAUAUGUCAAAAGAUGUGAUCGCUGCCAACGGUACAAACCAGUUCCUAGUCUGCAUGCCGAAAUCUACCAUCCGCAGAACAGUCCGUGGCCUUUCAUGCAAUGGGCCAUCGACUUAGUAGGCCCCAUGCCAACGGCACUUGCCAAGAAAGAAAUGAUGAUCGUCGCCACUGAUUACUUUACUAAAUGGAUCGAGGCCGAAGCUCUAUCCUCUACUAAAGAAGAUGAUGUGGAACGAUUUAUCUGGAGAAAUAUUAUCUGCCGGUUUGGCUGCCCACAAUCACUAGUCACCGACAAUGGCUCGCAAUUCAUCGGCAAGCAGAUCACUGCCUUCUACAAAAAGUACGGCAUCAAGCAGCAUUUAUCUACCCCAAGAUAUCCUCAAGGCAACGGCCAGGCCGAGGCAUCCAAUAAAAUAAUAUUGGACUGUCUAAAGAAGAGAUUAGAAGGCGCCGAAGGAAAAUGGGUAGAUGAGCUCCCUGGCGUACUAUGGGCUUAUCGCACCACCAAGCGAAGAUCAACUGGCGAAACCCCGUUUUCCCUCGCCUAUGGAACUGAAGCGAUCAUUCCUCCUCACAUCACUGUCCCUUCUAUAGGCAUCGAAGUGGGCAGUAUUGAGCAGAACUCCGAGCAGAUGAGACUCAACCUUGACUUACUUGAAGGCGAGCGCGAGAAGGCCAUUGUCCGAGUCGCCUCCUAUCAACAGCGGUUGAAGUCUUACUACGACAAAAGAGCCAAGAUCAGACAAUUUCAACCAGGCGACCUUGUCCUAAGAAAGGCCUUCAUCACUGCACAAAGACAAGGAUCUAAAAAGAUGAAACCCAAUUGGGAAGGCCCUUACAUAAUCAGCCGGUCCGGGGGCAGAGGAAGCUAUACGCUUGACACCAUGGAAGGGAAGGAGAUUCCGCGACAAUGGAACGCCUACCAUCUCCAAAGAUACUAUCCAUGACGCUUCCUCCUACCUGCUCAGUCCCCAGCAGACGACUGAGUACUGCACAUUUCUGAAAAAGAGAAGCAACUACUGCAAAUUCCAGAAUGUGCCACAACAAAAGACAGUUGCCCAUAAGGAGCGUCCUAAGGGAGACGCAGGGUGACGACAAAACGCGUCCGUUUGGAGACGUAGCCCUUUAAAAAAGCGUCCUAAGGGAGACGCAGGGUGCGCCAGGAAUUUCCUAAGGGAGAUAUCCAGGUUCCUAUCCGUUUUCUAAGGGAGGCAGGAUAGUCACACAGUUGCCCAUAAGGAGCGUCCUAAGGGAGACGCAGGGUGACGACAAAACGCGUCCGUUUGGAGACGUAGCCCGCUAAAAAAGCGUCCUAAGGGAGACGCAGGGUGCGCCAGGAAUUUCUUAAAAGGGGGUCACCAUGCUCUCUGCGGGAAAUAUCCAGGUUCCUAUCCGUUUCCUAAGGGAGGCAGGAUAGUCAAAAAAGUUGUCCAUAAAAAGCGUCCUAAGAGAGACGCAGGGCGACGACCAAAAGCGUCCUUCGGGAGACGCAGCCCACAAAGCAGCAUCCUAAGGGGGUUGCAGGGUGUGCCAGGAAUUUCCUAAGGGAGGUAUCCAGGUUCCUAUCCGUUUCCUAAGGGGGGCAGGAUAGUCAGACAGUUGUCCAUAAGCAGCGUCCUAAGGGAGACGCAGGGCAACGACCAGAAGCGUCUUAAAGCGUUUUCUGGAAAAAUGCAGAAUACGCCCGGAGUCCCUCAAGGGGGACCCUGGCUUUUGCCAAAAUCCCAAAGGAAAUACACAGCAGGACACUAACCGGUUACUCAAGCAGUUUACAAGACAAUGUGCAAAUUGAAGUUGAAAAAAUAAAGACUGAAAUUUCCAUAGUAAAGCGACCAACCGGCCAAGUUCAAACAAAAAGAAGAUGGUCAAAACAAGACCAAUUAUUCUAAACAAAAAGCAGACUACAAAAGCUGAAAAGAAAUAAAGAAGUCUUCGUCUACUCCGAAACGCCAGCAGGAGACCCCUGAUCUGCAGCCUCUUCAGCGUCCACCUGAUCAGCCACGCUCUCAGCAGCUCCACAUGCAUGAUCUAUGACGUCUGCUGCCGCCUCAUCAGCUGCAUCAUCCUCUGCUCCAUCUUCUUCAGCUACCGCCUCUUCGGCCACCUGCUCUUCAGCCCCUUCGGUGUUCGCAGCAUUAUCCUCCUCACCUUGCACAGGGGGCAAGUCAGGAUAGAGCAUCUCGAUGUCUUCAUCUCCAAUGGCAUAGAAGGGAUCAUAUCCAAUUGUGCAGUCCAAGUAGCCCAGCUUGUACGCAUCCAUGACAGCAUCGGACUUGGAUUCUUCAGCAGACUUAUGAUAGGCGUGAAAUCUAGCCAAAAGCUUCUCAUAACUAUGAGAGAUGUCGGCAUUCUUGCGCUCAAGGCGGAAAUAAGCAUCUUUUCGACUUGCCAAGUCAACAGCAGAAGAGCUCAGCUCGGAAUCUUUCUCAGUAAGGGAACUCUUCAGCUCAGAUAUCAUCGCCCGCAAAUCAGACGUCUUCUUCUCAUAACGAGUCUGCUCGGCAGAAAGCUUGCUAGCUAGCUCAGCAUUCUUCUUCUCCAACUCACUAAGCUGAGCAGAAGAGGGGGCAACAGCAGACGACGAGUUCCGGAUGGUCUCCGCAGCAAAAACCACUCCUUUUUGAAGCAGAUGAAAUGUUGCUUCUCUUUGUUUUUCCAAGGAAAGACUUGAAAAAGUACCGAGAUCACCAGCCUGACGGACUUGAUCAACCAGCUCAGCACAAGCGGAUGGACUUGAUAGAAAGUGCGUCUUGAGCAGAUCAGACACGUCUGCAUCCCCUGUAGGGCUAGGCUUGUCCACCUUUGGAUCAGCCGCUGAUGUCGCAGAAGAACCUUUUCCCCGAGCAGAUGACUCUCUUGCUUUCUUAGCCUCUGCCAACCUUACUUCCAAAGGAACUGACGACGAUGAAUCAACUCCAUGCUUGACUGCUUGUGACUCAACAGUUGGAUCAUGAUGGUUGGAUGGAUGAGCAGACCUCGCACAUCGACCUCCACUCUUCGACUGGUGUAAACGACCCGAACUUCGGAGUGGAAAAUCAGCAUCUCUUGGCUUCUCAACAGGUGAGCUGGACCGUGCACGAACUACGUCACAGAGCAGAUCACGAUCUCCAAACUCAUCGGCAAGAGGCUUAAGGGGAACAUCCCUAAUGUUGCGCAUACCACCAAUCUUCUUGCUAUCUGCACCAACAAGAUGUUUGACUCUGGCAGAUGACGCGGGAAUAGCUCCUACUUGGGUUUUCUCAGCAGAAGGGAACCUUGGCUUCUUCCUCAACGGAGACACAUUCCUCGCUCGCAAAGAAGUAGCUGGAGUUCUCGAAGACUUGACAUCGGCCUUCCUUUUUGGUGGGGGUUCAGCAAAGCACUCAUCCUGUUCAGCAGAUAGAUCAUCAAGGUCCGGACCAUUUUGCUUCCAUCUCUCGACAUCCUCGGCAGGGGGCAGACCACCAUCCUCCUCCACGCCCUUGCUUCAGGCCCAGCACGCAUAUGCUCCAGCCCAGGCCAUGUAGCACCAAGACCAGCAUGCACAUCAUGCUCCAUCUGAUCCCAGCAUCAAUUCCCCAGCUAUUUGGCAGCUAUCGCUCACGAAUUGCAACUCAUGCUGGACCAUCUCCUUGCUGCAAAAAAAAAAUAAAAAUAAAAAUAUAUAUACAUAUAUAUAUAUAUAUAUUUUUACAGGCUCGACUUACUUGGGAUGCACGGCAACUCCUCUCCUCAACAAGCAGUACAAAUUCUCCAAAAUCUUUCUCAAGCCAGAAGGUAGAGAAGUUAAGUUUGCGAUAUGAGAAAGAGUGAAGAGAAGCCCUGUAUUUAUACAGGUUGGACAACCCGGGUCAAGAAGGAAUCACAAACUCAUUCCUACUGGGAAUCCAACUCCAACAACAGUCAGAAGCCUACACCAAUUGGAAAUCCAAUCUGCGAAGGAGUCCAACUCACAUAAUAAAGCCCAGACACAGUUGGAGAGCCCGAAAAAAAAAAAUAAUUUCAUCUCCUACAUGCCACACAAGCGCCAUGCAGAAGCUGGGGGCAUUUGUGGGAGCAUAUAUUUUCGUCUCCAAUCAGGGCAUGCCACGUGGAAAAGAAGAUUAUCUCUUUAAUUAAUUAAUUAAAUCAGUUUAUCUGGCUAAUUAAUUAAUUAGGAUAAAUAUCUUAAUUAAUAUGAUAUUAUCUUUAUUUAAAGAGAUAAUAUCAUUAAUUAAGAUAUUAUCACAAUAAAGAGAAGAUAAUAUCAUUUAAAUCAGAUAUUAUCUUCUUAAGAGAUAAUGUCUAUUUAAUUCAGAUAUUAUCAGGCCCAUUCCUGCGAAACCCUAGCCCCGAGGCUCCUAUAAAUAGACGACCUCAUUCAUCAUUCAAGGUACAUCUAAACCUACUCCUUAUACCCGAGAAAAAGACCCGAAGCUCUCUCUCCCUCUCCACUCUCCAUAUUUUCUCCCCAAGGCUCCGGCCACCACACACGGCUCCGGCCACCCGGUUUACACCCUACAUAAAACUCCGUACCCUUUGCUUAGCUAUUGUUUUCCUACAAACACUCGAACUAACUUAGACAUCGGAGGGCCUUUGGCCAACACCCCCCGGGUGUGGUCUAUUUACUCUAGUCUUUUUUACAGGAAUCGAGGAAGAGAGAGAAGGAAGAUCGAAGGUUAAAGGAUCUAGAAGCAAAUAUUCUCCCGUGAGAUUAUUUGCACAAACAAAUACAAUAUAGUAUUAAAUUAAAAACCCUACCCCCGGCUCCUAAAAGUACGUGCGUCAAUUUAAAGUGAUUCCUAUGCCCAUAAUAGCUUUCCUUCCACGUGGGAUAGUUUAGCGAUAUCUUGGGACUCAAAAAGCGCUAAAGUCCAAACAGUCAAUCCGGAACCCCACGGGUCCAUGACCUCACAAUAUGCUCUGGAUGCCGCUAGAAGGUCCAAUAUGUCUAGGACACAUGUCCCGAGGGUAUUCGCAUAAUUUCUAAACCCUCGCCCUAGGGUUCGCGUUUUCGGAGUAUCCGGGACUCCGAUCCGUCGAAUCCUACACGUUUCUAAAAUUAUCUAGAAUAACAUAUCUAAAAUUGAUUACGAUCCGACUGCUCAACAGUAUUGCCCGAUAAUCGCACAAUAUGGAAAAUCCGUUCGAGGCUCAAAUGGUAUCCAAAUUGAGAUCCGCGAAUUCCUAUGCGCUCGUGAUGACCUAAGGAUCGCAUCAGAACACAGUGUCACGGCACCACCCUCGCCCACGCGCCGGCAGUGAUGGGUGUCCAAAGCGAUAACGCAUCGCCGAAAAAUCGUAAAACCAAGGCUCCAAACUCCUAUCCUAGGUAUAACACCAUAUUUGGAACCACUUUUGUUCUUGGACCAACCCCAAAAACUGACCGGAAGUGGCCGAACACGGAGGCCGAAAGUCGGCCGAAUUUCAAUUUGCUAAUUGAGCUAGCUACGGUGAAAAUCAAUGCAAACCUACCCAACCAUCAGCUAGAACAUGGAAAAUAGGUAGAAAUCCAUACCUUACUCGACAAAUUUGGAGGAGAAUUGAAGGAGAACGAAUGGUUGGAAGUUUUGACAAAACCGGCGGAAUUCCUGCCGUUUUCGGCGACUGGCGAGCGGCGAGCGGCGGGCAUGAGCUGCGACGUGACGGCGGGGUCGGGCCGGUCAGGUUGGUACCGGUGUUGGGGCUUGUGGUGGCCGGUAGUGGUGGCGUUGCACUUGGAGGGUGACGGGAGGGAGAGAACGAAAACAGAGAGGGAGGAGGGCGCGAGGAGAGAGAGAGAGAGAGAGAGAGAGAGAGAGAGAGAGAGAGAGAGAGAGAGAGAGAGAUGAGGUUUUAUAAAAAUUCUGAUUUUUUAAUUUACCAUUUUGCCCCUCGUGAUAUUUUAAUCGUAUUUUCUUCGUUAAAACUCCGAUUCGAGCUCACUUCGUGUCUAUGAACUCGUGUCGUCGUGCUCCACGCAACGGUGUAUGUAGAAUUGUCAAAGUCCUUUUCGGUCAAAAAGUCAACUUUGGGUUCAUAAUUUAGUCAAAGGGCAAAAUUGUCUUUCUGCAUAAUAAAUUACUAAUUAAAUAUGAAUUUUAGGUUUGGGUCAUUACAGUACAGACUUUGUGUAAUACAAAAGUUGGAAUAUAUGUAGUUGUUAUAUCCAAACCUUAUAUAUGUGGACAACUGAAACAUUAUUAAAAUAAAUUUAGUUAUAAAACAUUGGUAAAUCAAUAUAUGCAAACCCUUUUAAUAAUAAUUUUAAUUUUUUUUUUUGACAAAACAUGUUUACAAAAUGAAAAUGAUAAAACAUUUGUUAUAAAACAUUGAUAAAUAAACAUAUCCAAACCAUUUUCAUACAAAGUUUGAAAAUUAUUGACGCCAAACAUUUUUCAAAAAUGAAAAUCCUUGCACGACGAAGUACACCUCGUCGCGCAAAGUUUGCACGACCCAGAAUACACUCGUCGCGUAAAGUUAAAACAUUGCACUUCAAAUUAUCAUCCGUCCCGCGAUGGAAUUUUGCGCGACGACAGGUUUACUCUCGUCGCGCAAAUAUAUAUUAUUUUAUAAUAUAUUAUAUAUACACAUAUAUAUUUGAAAUUGACGAUCAAGUUAGUUCAUUGUAUUCAUAUAGGGUCAUGGAGUGUAGCUGUAAAAAAUCAUCAAAAUCGGAGUUAAAAUAACCGUUAAAUCAUGACUUUUCAUUUAUAACCGUUCAAAAGUUUUGUCCCGUUACUUGAUCUCUGAAUAUUUUUUUUUUCCGAUUUUUGGGGUCUAAGAUCUCGAAGUAUAAACAAACAAGUUUGACGGCUGGAUUAUUGAAACUACUUUCGUAGAAUGCGUAUGCCAUCAAAACCAUAUAUUCACCAACAAUGAAUAGUUUACUUAUACUUUCGUUAAAUAUAACAUAAGAUUAUGUGAUAUCACCCUAGUGUAAACAUCUUAAAUUGAAGAUCAAAUUCAGUAAUUGUAUAAAAAUAAGGUCAAGAAAAGUAGCUGUAAAAAAUCAUAAAAAUCGGAGUUAAAAUUACCGUUAAAUCAUGACUUUUCAUUUAGAACCGUCGAAAAAUUUUGUCCCGUUACUUGAUCUCUUAACGUUUGUUUUUUCAGAUUUUUGGCGUAUAAAAUCUCGAAGUAUAAAAAAACAAGUUUGCCGGUUGGAUCAUUAAAACUAGUUUCGGGUUUAGGGUUUCGGCGGUUUAGGGUUUAGGGUUUGCGCGACGAAUAAGUUUCGUUGGUCGCACAAAGCCUGCAAAGAAUAGUCUUGCGUGACGAACUGAGGCUUAUUCGUCGCGCAAUCUCAGCCAGCCAUUUCACCCUCUUCCUCCUUGAACACUUGGUCAAAAUUUUUUUUGAGUUUACAGAAAGCAGACUUGUGCGACGCUGUCAAUAUUCGUCGCGCAAUCUCUCUGCCAAUAAACCCUAAACCCCAAAUUUUGGCGGAAUUACAACGUUGCGCGACGAAUAAGUUUCUUUGGUCACACAAUGCCCACAGAGAACAGUCUUGCGCGACGAAUCUAGGCUUCGUCGUCGCGCAAUCUCAGCCAUCCCUUUCACCCUCCUCCUCCUUGGACACUUAGUCAAAAUUUUUUUUUUCGAGUUUACAGAAAGCAGACUUGCGCUACGCUGUCGAUAUUCGUCGUGCAAUCUCUCUGCCAAUAUACCUAAACCCCAAAUUUUGGCAGAAUUACAACAUUGCGCGACGAAUAAGUGUCAUUGGUAGCACAAAGCCCGCAGAGAACAGUCUUGCGCGACGAAUCUAGGCUUCAACUGUUCAUAUUCGUCGCGCGCACAAAGUUUUCAAUCUCUCCCGCUAAACUCUAAGUCCUAAAAUUUUGGCAAAUUGACAAUAUUGCGCGACGAAAUACGAUACUGUGCGUCGCGCAAAAACUACCCUGAUACCAAAUUUUGGGGAUUAACAACAUUGCGCGACGGAAGUUAUACUUAUGUCGUUGCGCAAGAGUCAAUUCAAAUAUUUUGCGUGACGCUUUUGCUUGUUUGUCGCGCAAAAUCGAAUAAAAUUGCAGAAACGACGCGAUGACCUCCUUCUUCCCCAGAUUAGUUUUUUUGCCCUAACUCUCUCUCUCUUUCUCCGCCGUCAGCUCAGCCCCUUACCCAAGUGGAUUUUGGACGACGCCGCCACAACGGUGGUACCCCGGAGCUUCCCCGCCGUCACCAUUGACCCAUCCGCCCUAAUUUUCUCGGUUUUCACCGAAUCUGCGCCGCCAUCGUUCUCUCUCCUCCGGCGACCAAAUCCGACACAUGAGGUAUGGUUUCUGUCCUAUUUUUGAUGCUUUAGCUGAUGGUUGGGUAGGAUUUAUGUAAUUGUUGCAAUAGGGCAGUGGAUUUGAAACCCUAAGUUUCGGCCGAUUUUUGAAUUUUAAUUCUGGCCACUUCUGGCCAUUUUUCGGGGUAGGUCUGAGAACAAAAGUGGCUCCAAUUGAUGUUUUGAACCUAGGGUAGGAACCUUGGCCCUUAGUUUUUAGAAAUUUCCGGCGAUUGGUAUCGCUUUGGACACCCACGCGUUUGGUGGCGCGUGGGUUACUGUAGUAGUCAUGCAUUGGGUCCCAGUGCAAUCCUCUAGUUGUCACGAGCGCAUAGGUGUUUUUGGAUUGGAAUUUGGUUACCGUUUGAGUCUCGAACGGAUUUUGCCUAUUGUGCGAUUUCUGAGUUUGUUGUGUUCGGACCGUUGGAUCGAACUCAAACUCACGUAUGGUGUACCUUGUAUUUCUAGGAUCGUCUAGGAUUCGGCGGAUCGUGGAUCGGAGUCCCGAAUACUCCGAACUGACAAACCCUAGAUCAAGAAUCUUAAUAAAAUUGUAUGUGCUUUCAAAUAUUCGUAUAUUUUAUUAAUUUGUAUGUGUAUUAAUGAAAUUGUGCAGAUGUCAGACCUGAUUAGACGUCGUAGGGCGGUGAUGACUACGCAGAGUUCAGAGCCCCCAGCUCAGCCGACAUUUGCUGCCACUGCGCCAGCACUGAUGGACCACUUAGCAGUUGGUCCCGCGGGGUCCCAGGCGCUUACUUCAUCAGCUUCAUCAGUAGCACAACUUGUUAGCGCCAGGCGGCGUCAUCGGCCCCGCCAGCACCACCGACACCACAUCCACUGAUGCGUCGGGGUCACAGCCAGGUAUAGAUUUCCUUAAACUCCAGUUAUUUUUAUUUUUGUUUUUGUUUUUAUUUUUAUUUGUGUGUGUAUUUUAUAGUUAAAUUUGUUAUUUAUUUAACAUUAAUGUCAUCUUUCUUUGCAGCUAAAAAGAACACCCGAGGCCGUGUCGGCAGUUGAAGACGGCGAAGGUCACCCGGGCUGCAUCGACGGCGGAGUUGUAUAGCUCCUUGGUCCACGACAUUGGUCAUGUCAUUCGGAGCCAUUGCCCGAUGAAAUGGAAGUCUUGGAAGGUGAUGCCUGAUGAGACCAAGACGGAGGUUCGCGGCCAGUUGUCGGUAUGUAGGCCUUUUAAUUCUUUUUCUUUCAAACUUUAUAUUUCUAUUAUUUAAAUGUAUGUAAUUAAUUUAUUGUAGACGAACUACAACUUGGAGGACCUGGACAACGAGUCGUUGGUGUACGUCAACAGACUCUUCUCUGAGAGGCACAAACAGUGGAAGAGCGACUUGCACCACUAUUUUGAGGCGUUUGAUGAUCCGGAAGUCGCUCUUCAAGAGGGUUGCCCGAAGGAGCUUGAGGGGCGGGAGGAUAGUUGGGCGUGGCUCUGCGCUCAUUUUCAGGCGCCCGCUUUGUGGUAAUUUGUAAUAUGAAUUUCAAAUUUAUUAUAUUUUUCUUACUAAUAUUUUUUUUAAUGUUUUAUAUUUAAUUUCAAUUUCAACUAAUAUGUUUUAUUUUUUGUAUAACAGAAUAAAGCCAAAGUCAAUAAGGGCAAUAGGAAGAAGAAGACUUUUCUCCAUCAUUAGGGUUCCAGGCUCUUCUCCUAUAUGAUGGAUGUACGGCGGCAGGUAAUAAUAAAAUAAUUUUUAUUUAAUUUUUAAUAUUUAAUUAUUCUUAAUUUAUUUUUUCGUACUAAUAUUUUUCUUCUCUUGUUCAAUUUAGGGGGGUCCAAAUUCCCAGAGAUCGACGUCUUUGGCGACGUUUAUGUUCGACCUGAGAAUGAGUUGGCCGAGUCCCUUCAUGUAAGUAUUAUUUAAUUUUAAUUCUUAUGUUACGCAUUCAAGUUUAAAGGUUAUUAUAUGAAUGUUUUAAUUUAUAUUUUAUGUUAUGCUAAACAGACGACGAUGGUGGGGAGGAGCCAGUUGGUUCUUCAGGAGUCCGCCUCCCAACUUCCUCCCGAUACUCUGAUCGAGUCUGUGGAUCCGCCACAGGAUGCCGGGUUUCAGAUCUUGACGGAGACAUUGGAUCAGACUCUUGGGAGGAGUCCGGGGACAUAUUGUCGAGGGAUGGGGAAUGCCAGGCGGAGGGAACCCAAACCCCGUUCAUCAGCGCAGUCAAACAGUCAGGUCACUGCUUUGACAGCACAGGUGGCCAUUCUUCAGAGUCAGAUGUCGGUGAUUCUGCAGUCCCUUGCACAGUCCGUCAUUCCAGUCCCGCAUUUUGAUGCGCUGACCUCCGAGCCCGUCCAUCCCGAGCAUCCCCACCAGACGACGGCCCCUGUAGACCCCCAGACCUCUGAACCGCAUGUGCCAAACGACAACGUAGAUUUUGGAACAUUAUUUGAUUAGUUUUUUUAUUUUCAUAAUUAUUUUUUAAAUAUUUCUGUUGCAGCAUACAUUUAUUUUAUAUAAUAAAUAUGUUCUUUACAAUUCUUUUAUUUAUUUAUUGGAAUUUCAUUUUAUUACCCAAAAAAACAAACCAAAUUUAUUUUUUUAUUAAAAAAAAGUAAUAUUAAAAUUAAAUAAUAAUUAUAUAUAUUAAUUUUGCGCGACGAAAUCUUUCUCGUCGCGCAAAUUUAUAUAUUACGAAAUAAAAAUGUUUCAUUUUUUUUUAAAUACAUAUAAUUUAUUCUUGCGCGACGAACAUUUUCGUUGCUCAAAAAGGUUUUGCGCGACAACAGUUUUUCGUCGCGCAAAAUGUGUUGACACGAAUUGCGCGACGAAGAUCUCUUUGUGCCGCAAAUAUCUAAGACACGUAUCGCGCGAUGAACAUUUUCGUCGCGCAAAAAUGUAUGCGCGACAACAUUGUUUCGUCGCGCAAUAGUUGUAGACAUGAAUUGCGCAACGAAGAACUCUUGGUGCCGCAAAUGUCUACGAGACGUAUUGCGCGACGAAUAUUAUUCGCCGUGCAUUGUUGUGGUGACGAACCUUCUUUCGUCGCGCAUAAGUUUGUGCGACGAACUAUUGCGUCGUCUCUGAACCUUUUGUGUAACGAAGGGUAACCGUCGCACAAAUUUGCACGGCGAGUGUUACGCGCGACGAAUUUUCUGUCGCGCUUGAGUUUGUGAGACUAAAUUUAACUCUGCGCGACGAAAUUGUCUUCGUCGCGCAAAUCGUAAAAUGUAGUAGUGAUAUAAUAUAUAUGAAGGAAAGAUCGAUGCUUAGUUCCUGCAUGUAUGAUUAGUCAGCCAUAUGUUAAUAAUUGAGUCGGUCUCUGUCCAAUCUAACGCACAGAUAUACAGGUUAGGCAGAAAGGAUGGCAAUUAGUGAGUGAGACCCUGGACCCAAGUGAAUCAGAUUCCACACCGAUUAGGUUUAUGAACUUUAACAGUUGAUAUGAAUCAUUUCCUAAUCUUUCAAUAUAAUAUAAUAUUUACAAUCGCAAUCGAGGUCUAUUCUAAUAAAAAAGAGCCUUAACGUAUAUACCAGUAGCAGUAGUCUUAAUUUGAACUCCCAUAAGUGUGUAUAAGUAUAUGAAUAAUGCUUGCAUUCAAAGAAAAAGAAAAAGAUACCAAAGUCGGCUAGUGUCCCACGACCUUGCAUUCAAUAAUGCUUGGGUCCUUCCUCUUGAGUCCUAGCAUCAAUAAUAGGCUCUACAAAAUAGUCACUCAAGUAUGUAGAUCUAUUUCAUAAGGUUCAAUGGGCAUAUUUCUGAUGAUAUCAACAUUAUUGUGGGAGCAUAUAUUUCGGCAGUCAAUACCCCAUACAUCAAAAAGCUCCACAAUGAGUAUGUUGUUCCAUGUCGUUUGAUUCCCGCAGCUUAUGUUCCCCAUCCUUUGGCACCUAUCACAUAAAUUAACACAAAAAUUAAACGCAUCUUUGAAUAGAGUGGGUCAAAAUAAACCAGAUUGUAGAACUUUAAGUGCUGUUUUCUUAGCUCCAAAGUGACCUCCACAAGCCAACUUGCGGCUAUGUUUCGGUAUGCUCUUCUUUUGCAAUAGACUUUCUAAUGAGUAGAUCGAGGCAAUGCUUGAAUAAGAAAGGUUCGUCCCAAAUAUAAUGUUUCACCAUAGAAAAGAACUUCUUGUCAUGAGAAGUUAGAUCAUUUCUAAUAACACCACAAGCAAUAUAAUUAACAAAAUCAACAUACCAUGGCUCUUUGGUGUUGGCAACAUAGAGUUUUUCAUCUGGGAAAGUUUCAUCCAAGGGUAGCACAUCUAAUCCUUUUUCUUCAACCACAAUUCUACUCAAAUAAUUAGCCACCACAUUCUCACUUCCCUUCUUAUCUCGAAUCUCCAAAUCGAACUCUUGCAGCAAAGGAAUCUAUCUAAUCAAGCAUGGUUUGGCGUUCUUAAUAGUAAGUAUCUAAGAGCUGCAUGGUCAGAAUAAACAAUUACUUUAGAAUCAACAAGGUAAGAACAAAACUUUUCUAAAGCAAAACCCACAACAAGCAACUCUUUUUCUGUUGUGGAGUAGUUGAGUUGAGCAUCAUUUAAGGUUCGACUAGCAUAAUAAAUCACAUGGGGAAGCUUGUUCUUCUUUUAACCUAAAACUGCACCAAUAGCAAAGUCAGAGACAUCACACAUUAUUUCAAAUGAUAAAGACCAAUUUGGAGCCAUGAUAAUAAGGGCUGAAGUAAGUUCCUUCUUCAAGGUAAUAAAAGCUUCCAUACAAGCUCAUCAAACUUAAAAACAGCAUCUUUAGCAAGCAAAUUACACAAUAGGCUUGGGAUGUUUGAGAAAUUUUGGAUGAACCUUUUAUAGAAUCUAGCAUGGCCUAGAAAACUUCUAACUCCCUUAACUGAGGAAGGAGGCAGUAGAUUUGAUAUGAGAUUGAUCUUAGUUUAUCCACUUCAAUUCCCUUGCUUGAAAUCACAUGGCCUAGCACAAUCUUACCAUGAAGUGACACUUCUCCAAAUUCAAAAUCAAAUUUGUUUCCUAGCAUCUUUUAAGCACUGGAGGCAAGUGGUGAAGACAAUCAUCAAAAGUGGAACCAAAAAUUGAAAAAUCAUCCAUAAAUACCUCAAUGAAUUGUUCCACCAUAUUUGAAAAUAUUGCCAUCAUGAAUCUAUGGAAAGUUGCUAGAGCAUUGCAUAAACCAAAUGGCAUCCUUCUAUAAGCAAAGGUACUAAAUGAGCAUGUGAAUGUGGUCUUUUCUUGGUCUUCUGGAGCAAUGGAAAUUUGAUUAUAACCUGAAUAUCCAUCAAGAAAACAAUAGUAAGCAUGGCUGGAAAAAUAUUCAAGCAUUUGAUCAAUAAAAGGCAAGGAAAAUUGAUAUUUUCUUGUGGAUGUGUUCAACUUCCUGUAAUCAAUACAAACUCUCCAACUGGUGAUAGUUCAUGUAGGAACUAGCUCAUUUUGCUCAUUCUUCACAACGGUGAUUCUAGACUUCUUCAGAACAACUUGCACAGGCCUCACCCACUUAGAAAAUGAAAUUGGGUAGAUGAUUCCUACAUCAAGUAGCUUUAAAACUUCUGCUCUAACCACCUCUUCCAUGUUGGGGUUUAAUCUUCUUUGGGCAUCACGGCUAGGUUUGCUAUCUUCUUCCAUUAGUAUCCGGUGCAUGCACAUGCUUGGGCUUAUACAUUUGAUAUCUGCUAUGGUCCAUCCAAGGGCUGUUUUAUGCUCUUUUAGAACUUUAAUUAAGCUCUUAUCUUCCUGUGAGGUGAGACUUGCAACAAUUAUAACAUGAAGAGUUCCAUUAACACCUAAAUAAGUAUAUUUAAGAUGACUGGGUAGAGGUUUAAAUUCUAGCUUCGGUGGGGUGAUAAUGGAUGGUUCCAAUUUCGUGGAGGAUGGUCCAAGAGGCUUGAGUGGUGGCCUAAAAGAUGGUGGGUAUGGCUGGAACACUUCUAGGGCAACAUGGUAGCUGAUGAUCUGAUGGCCAUUGGGUCAUGGCAAACUUAAUAUAUAUGUAUCUGGUUUACUAACUUUCAUUGUCUAUUUCUUUACAAUAACAUGAAUAUUGGGAUUCUUAGAAGAUCUUCUUUGUAAUUUAAUUUCUUCGUUUUAGAAAUAGUGUGGCAUAUAUAUGCUUACGAUGGCAAGUUUACGUAACAAAACAUUUCUGGCCUAUCUCAUGGUAAGCAAGGCCUGUGCUUGAUAUCUUCUUGGUAGGAUAAGUUAUUCUUGUUCAUAUAACAUUGCCUUAAUAAUAAUUCCACGUAGUGGAGAAAGCAUUUGCUUCUUGGCCAAACUACUUUAGAGCAUAUAUAGAUAUAAAGUAUGUGAAUGCGAUCCAUUCCAAUUUUGCAACAGAAAAAGGUACCAAAGUCGGCCAGUACUGUACCACAAUCCAGGCCACAACCUUGCGUUCAACGGUGCUUUCGAGUCCUUAAUUGGGAACAAAAUGGCACAUUCUUUUUGAAUCUCUUUCUAAUUUGCAUACUUAAUUUUAUUUGGGUCAAAUUAAUAGUCUAAUGAACCAUAUAGGGUUUGUUGUAGCAAUUACUAAAGGAGUUCGAGCUAGACAAAGACACAUGCACAAAAAAGGGAGAAGAACGUUCCUUAGGGGAAAUGGGAAGGUAUUAAUUCCUUGCAUAACUUUGUAUAAGUUCACUUUGAUCAUUAUCACGAGGAUUUAGAAACUUUCCUUCUUCUUGGUUCAAAUUUCGGGAAAGAAGAUAAAAGGAAAGCUCAAUAAUUGUACGUAUAAGUUCCUCUUCACUUUUGACUAUUUUGAGAUUUUUUAUUGUCACAAACUUUCUUUUGUUGAUAUUUAACUUAAUCAUAGCAUAGCAACUAUGGUGUCCUUUAUCAUGUUCUUAGAGCAUCUUCAAUCGAUAUGUCAUGGACAUGAAAGGGCAAACAUUGAAGGUUAAAGUUACUCCAACCGAGUAGUCUGUAGAAGAUGAAUGUGAUGAGCUUGUGUCAAUUAGGAGAAAUCUUGAAAAUCAAGUUAAUGUGCUCAAAGAGAGUAAUAUUUGCUUCCAAAACUCAAACAAACAUCUCUUGGGUGAGUUGAAUGAGGCAAAAAGUAAGAUUAUCUCCUUGACCAUUGGUGCUUCAAAAAUUGAUAAUAUGUUGAAUAUGGGAAAACUUCAUUGUGAUAAAGGGGGUCUUGGAUAUAAUCCAAUUGGAUCUAGUGUGUCUAGCUCAACAUGCACAAAAAAGGAGUUCGAGCCAGACAAAGACACAUGCACAAAAAAGGGAGAAGAACGUUCCUUAGGGGAAAUGGGAAGGUAUUAAUUCCUUGCAUAAUUUUUUUUGGGUCAAAUUAAUAGUCUAAUCAAUCUAAUAGGGUUUGUUGUCGCAAUCACUUUGACCACUAUCACGAGGAUUUAGAAACUUUCCUUCUUUGUGGUUCAAAUUUUGGGAAGGAAGAUAAAAGGAAAGCUCAAUAAUUGUACGUAUAAGUUCCUCUUCAUUUUUGACUAUUUUUAGGAUUUUUUAUUCAAUAACGCUACAUGCAUCAACUUGUUUAUCAACUCUUUAACACUAAGUUACCAACACUGACAUGGCAACCCAUGUCAUCUGCCAUCUCAUUUAUUUUAAGUACAUAUUUUGUUCAAAAAAAGAAUUUCAUCAACAAAAAUAAAAAAUAACCAAAAAAAAAAGUUUUUAGAUUUAGCGUUAAACUCAUCUCCUUCGUCUUUUGUCCUUCCCCUCUGAAAACCCUAGAAAUUGAACAGUGCCUCCAAUUACGUAUGAAAGCAUGGGAUUGUUGGUCCCACAAGGAAAAAAAAAAAACAUAUGCAGCCAAUUAAGCUUAUGGCUAUUAUAUAUAUAUAUAUAUAUAUAUUGUCACACAAAAAAUAUGUUAUUUUGAUAUUAGAACUUAAUCAUACCGUAGGAACUACGGCGUCUUUUAUAUCACAUCAUCACCACUUUUUAAGUUAAAAUUUAUAUGUCUUAUCAUAUCUAAUGAUCACAUUGCUAACUAAAUUUUAUACAAAUAUAACUUAUUCGAUGAAGAUAAAUAUCUCACUUAUGAAACUAAUAGCAGAUACACCCACUAUAUAAGGAUGAGAUGAGAAGUUGCUUAGUCAAUCCAUGACGAAUCUUUAGAAUUAGAAGAGUAGUCAUUAAAAUGCAUCUGAUACUCUUUUUAUCCUAGAAAAAUUAGGUAUUAGACAUAAUUAUCUUUACUAAUUAGUAUUUGAGACAAACAGUAUUUCUAUUUUGGUUUUAAUUCCAAGGAAUUGAAUUUUGUUUUGAAUUUGGCCGAAGUGGAGACCCAAAUUUGUUGACCCACCUUACAUUAAUCACUGAAGGGACAAUUAUACCCUUUUUAUUUAAAAGCCUGACCUAAAUUCAUUGCUCUCUCUCUCUCUCUCUCUCUCUCUCUCUCUCUCUCUCUCUCUCUCUCUCUCUCUCUCUCUCCGCAGCAACGACGAGCACAUCGCCAUGAUCUGCGAUCAUUGAUCCAAGAUCGAGAGGUCGAUCUGCGAUGGAAUUCUCAAACUGCUUGACCCGCGGCUCAUCCCUUUGACAUUCACCGGCGACUCCAAGGUCUUCUAGCUCAAGAUGAAAGACAUUGUGAUUGCUAUCUUGCUGAGUUCAAGAUUGAUUGACUUGCGGCUCAUCCCUUCGAAUAACAAAGAUUAGAACAUCCAAGGUUCCAAUCUCCAGUUUUCGUGUAAUGUUUUUUUGUUAAUUGCUCAGAUCUUGUGAUAUUAUUUUCAUAUCAGACUUCACAUCAAUGUCAAGCCCUGAUAAUCUUAUGACUUGUGUUUUUCUCUCUCUUUGUGAAGCUUAUGAAAUUUGUUAUUUUAAGAAAUAUUGAACUGAUAUGGAUGCACAUUUAACUAGUGAUGUUACUUUUGUAUAAUUUUUUAUUUCUAUAGAAUUUCAGUCUUGUUUAUGGUUGGUGUUUUCUAUCCCUUCCACAUGUUCAGCUCACACCUUUUAAUGAGAUUAUCCUUUUCUUUAGCCAGUAAUGGCUAGUCAUUGCUCUGAUAAGUAGGGCUCUUAAAGUGUAUCUUCGGGUACAGUUAUAUAUGAACUAUCACUUCCUCUUCCAAUUUGCUGUCAUUUCUUUUAAGUGAAAGUGGCUUCUCAAUUGGUCAUUUGUUUCUAUGAAUUGCUUAUUAAUUUUGUAUGUAACCUUCAUGUUAGAUUUUGCACGUUUGAAUUUUCAAGGCUUUUACGCUGCAGUCUUGGAGAAAGAUGAUUGUUGAUAUCUGUAGCAUCAAUCAGGUAGUACUGAAAUGAAGCUGUUUGUAGGGAGUCGAUUUUCCAGUUUUCGUGUGUAAUGUUUUUUUUGUUAGUUGCUCAGUUCUUGUGAUAUUAAUUUCAUAUUAGAUUUCACAUCAAUGUUUUGAUCUAUUGUUUAAACCUCCACCUUGCAUCCUUACUAUUUUAGUCGUUGAUAUCUAUUGUCAAUGGUAUUGCAAAACUUUUUGGUUUAGCUUUUGGUGCAUGGGUUUGAACUUUUUGAUUUGGAAAUGGUAUUGCAAAACUACAUUGUACAGGUUCUGCAUUGUAAUUUUACACAAACUGCAUUGCAGUUUUGGAAACUUUAUUUCAGUUUUCAUUUAAUUACAAAUUGAUUUUUGUUCUUUCCUUGACCUUCAACCUCACCAAUUUGAAGAGUAGAGGCUACCCAAAUGAGGAAUUGAGUGGGCAAGAGAAGAGUAGAACUACCCAAGAGCAAGGGAACUCAAAAUUGGACUUUCAGAAACUGCAUUGUAGUUUUCAUUUAUUACAAUUGGAUUUUUGCUCGUCCUUGGCCUUCAACCUCACUAAUUUGAAGAGUAAAGGUUACCCAGAUGAGGAAUUGGGUGGACAAGAGAAGAGUAGAACUACCCAAGAGCAAGAUAACUCAAAAUUGGACUUUUGGAAACUGCAUUGCAGUUUUCAUUUAAUUACAAUUGGAUUUUUGCUCUUUCCUUGGCCUUCAACCUCACCAAUUUGAAGAGUAGAGGCUACCCAUAUGAGGAAUGGGGUGGGCAAGAAAAUAGUAAAACUACCCAAGAGCAAGGGAACUCAAAAUUGGACUUUUGGAAACUGGAAAAUGCAUUGCAGUUUUCAUUUUAAUUACAAUUUGAUUUUUAUUCUUUCCUUAGCCAACCUCACCAAUUUGAAAAGUAGGGGCUACCCAGAUGAGGAAUUGGGUGGGCAAGAGAAGAGUAGAACUACCCAAGAGCAAGGGAACUCAAAAUUGGACUUUUGAAAACUGGAAAACUGGAAACUGCAUUGCAGUUUUCAUUUAAUUACAAUUGUUUUUGUAGUUGUUUUUUUUUUUCAAAAACAUAAUUGAUAUCUACAUUGUAUUUUUGUUGCAGUUUCUGUUUUUAUUUGCAGUUUUUGUGUGAAUAAGUGUUGAAAUAAUUUUUUUUUAUUUUUAAAUAUCGUUGAUUAUUGAUAUAAAUAUUGUAUAACUGAAUAAAUAUUACAAAAUCAAGUUCGGUGUAGUAGUUUGUGAGUGAGCCUUCCUCCUUUGAGGGUCAAGGUUCGAGUCCAUUCAAUGACACAAAAUCUUUUUUUCAAAAGGUGAAUAAAGGGCAACAGAGUUGGUCCCCUGCAGACGGUGGCAGGCCGGCGACGGGCGGUGGUGGUGACAGGCCAGCGACGGACGGUGGACAUGUGGCAUAGUAUGCUUACCUUAGAAGGAGUGGCAUUGUGUUUAAUUUUGAUAUUUUUUAAUGAUAUUUUUGUAAAAUUAGGUACUACAUUUGGUCUUUGGCCUUAUGCUAAUUAGAUGAAAUUAUAUUCUUAUUAUCUUCCAAAUUAAUAAACUAUAUUGUGUUUUAAAACUAAAGCUCUCUUUUAUUUUCUUUGUUAUUUUCUUACGUGAAUAAAAUCUCUUUGAUAUUGCAAAGAAGUUGUUUUCUUCUCCUUUUUUUAUUUUAUUUUUUUAAUAAUAAUAAAUUUCCGUGAAAAGUGAUUACAUAACAAACAAGAGAGAGUAUGCUGGUGCGGCUAGCAUUAAAUAUAUUUUAUCAGUAACGCUACGGGCACCAACUUGUUUACCAACUUUUGGAAGCGCAGCGCAGUUGAUUUUGCACCUCAAGCUCUGGUCUCGGAUUUUCUUUUUCCUAAUAUUGCUUGUGUUAAAAAAACGUAUUAUGCAUAUUUAAGAUAAUAUCUUGAAUUUAAAGUUUUAUUUAUUUAUUGCAGUCAAUUUUGACUUCUUUUUUUCUCUACAUUGAAAGUCAAAAGUGCCAAUAUGUGGUGCUAUGCUAUCCCCCAACCUCUUUAGUAAUUGCAUAUCUUNNNNNNNNNNNNNNNNNNNNNNNNNNNNNNNNNNNNNNNNNNNNNNNNNNNNNNNNNNNNNNNNNNNNNNNNNNNNNNNNNNNNNNNNNNNNNNNNNNNNAUCUGCCAUGUCAUCUAUUUUAAUACAUAAUUUGUUAUAUAAAUAAAAGAAUUUCUCACUGAAAAAAUGGGGGGUUUUUUAUAUUUAUUUUAAAUUAUAUCUUUUUUCGGUGAGAAAUUCUUUUAUUUAUAUAACAAAUUAUGUAAUUAAAAUAGAUGAGAUGGCAGAUGACAUGGGUUGCCAUGUCAUGUGCCACAUGUGUUGGUAUCCAAAAGUUGGUAAACAAGUUGGUGCCCGUAGCAUUAUUGAUAUUUUAUAUAGCAUAAGAAGUGAUUUCUACAUAUAAUUAUAAACGGAAUAUAUAAAGACUAGGCUAGCUAUCCAAACCACUUCUACAUCUGAUAUACAUAUAUAUAAUAUUACACAGAGCUUCAUUAGUUAACUAAUUACUUAUACCAAACUAAGUUGGUAUAUGUUAAUUAGCGGCGAAUCUUGGGGUACUCUCUUAUCUCUAUCCCCCCAAAUAGCAGGGCUGCGUCCUUGCUAUUAAGAACAGCCUGAUCAUUCCUAAGAGGAGUUGGGUGUCUCCCUGCACGAGCUGGUUGGUCUUGAGAAAAUGGAGGCCUCUUGCCGGGCCGGUCAUAGAACUUGUCUAGCAUGGCAAAAGCCUCCCCUCCAAGCUUUGCUAGCUCUUCCUGAGUUGCCAUAAUAGUAAUAUUGCUACAAUUUAGUACAAGCACACAAACAAACAGAUGCACAAAGCAGGUCAGGUAAUUUGGUUUGCCUUUGUUUUCUUGGUAAAAUGGUUCGCGGCCAAGCCCCAUUAUAUAGGAGUUAAAAAGCCACCUUAUUGUGAGACCUUGUGGAUAAGUUGGUUGGAUAACAUAGAUAUCCAUUCUUUCCAAAAGGGAUUCCCACUUUUGGUGAUUCCUUCAGAGACACUUUUGAAUCUUUGAGUUGGGGGCUUUGCUUACGUUAGAAAUAUGUAUUAGUAAUGUUGCAAAUUACUGAAGUGCCUUAAAAAGUAUUAUGAUCAAUAACACUAUUGAACGUAUGUAUGGAAGAUUGUUUGGUGCUAAGAAUUUCGUGGCAGGUUGACCCAUGGAUAUGGUUGGUACAAAACACAUUAAUGAAAAAUAGGAAUAAGCACAAAUUGUGGGAGGUGAAGAUAUUUAUUCCUCCAGAGAUUGACAGGAAUCAAUAUCAUAGUUUAUUUUGUUUUUUUUUUCAUUGCUUGAGAGCUACAUAUGAUGAAUUCUUCAAAUAAAAUUAUUUGUGGGGUAUUUUUGUAAAGAUCACUUUGUAUUAUAUUUGAACAAUUUACAAUUAAAACUGUCUAUUUCAUAGAUUAUCUCUUUAAAAAAUCACAUAAAUUGAGAGUUGGAUGUGACAAAUUAAUCUCUAAAUAAACUUAUUUGAGGGGGGUAUUUUUGUGGGGCUCAAUUUGUAUUGUAUUUCAACAAUUUGAACCCUCUAUGUCAUAGAUGAUAUCUCUUUAAAAAAGCACCCCAAUUGAAUUUAUUUUUUAACCAUUCUAACCAUGCUCCUUUAUCCAACUCCUAAAACAGGAAGACUUCUAGGAGCUCUUAAAUUUGAGGAGAGAGAAAGGACUCCUAGUGGGUCCCUAUAAUUAAAUACUAGUUUACUUUAAUGCUAAUUAUUUUUUAGUAUAUCCUACAUCUGAUAUACAAAUAUUGGAAUCAUUAGAGGAGAUCUUCCUUGUAAUUUUAUUUCUUGAUUUGAAAAAUAAAGUAUUAGUGUGGCGUGCAUAUGCUUACGAUGGCAAGUUUAUGUAGCCAAAUUAUUUAAUCCUGCAGUUUCUUGAAAUUAGAGACAACAAUUUUGCUCUAACCCUCCAGCUAAAUGACACUUCCAAAACAUGUACUAAGUUCUAGGAAAUGCAAACACAAUUUCACAUUAACAAACUUAAAAUUGUGUAUGUUGUUCUUGUAGAUAUGAAGAAUCUUGGCUAUAAAAGAUAAGACUUUUGCAUCCAUUGCACAUUUGGAAUUGGUGAGACUUACCAUUGUCCGUUUCUAUAAAGUUUAUGUAAAAAUAUUGGAAUCCUUAGAGGAGAUCUUCCUUGUAAUUUUAUUUCUUGAUUUGAAAAAAAAAAGAAAGUAUAUUAGUGUGGCGUGCAUAUGCUUAUGAUGGAAAGUUUAUGUAACAAAAUUAUUCUGGCCUAUCUCAGGGUAGGCAAGGCCUGUGCUUGAUAUCUUCUUGGUAGGAAAUGAUAUUCUUGAUCAUACAUACAUAUAUAUAGGGAGUUUUAAUUGAGGGAUUUCUCAAAUUUGAGGGAUAUCUUUGUGGAGCCCACUGCAGUAUUGCAUUUUACUAAUUCAAACCGCCUAUUUUGUAGAUACUCAUUCAAAGAUCAUCUCUACAAAAAAUCACUUGACACUACUAAAAAAAACCCCUUGCGCGACCAAAUUUUGCGCGACGAAAAACUAUUCGUCGCUCAAAGUCACUUUGCGCGACGAAACUUGAAACUUCGUCACUCAAAGUCUUGCGCGACGAAAAAUAAUUCGUCGCGCAAAGUCCCUUCGCGCGACAAACUUUUGCGCGACGACAAUACAUCGUCGCUCAAAGUCUUGCGCGACCAAUUUUGCGCGACGAAAAAUAAUUCGUCGCUCAAAGUGACUUUGCGCGACGAAAAGUAAACUUCGUCGCGCAAAGUCCUUAUAAAAAUAAAUAAAAAUAAAAAAUUAUUUUUUAAAAUCUUUGCAUGACGUAAUCCAAACAUUUUGUCACUUAACCAAUUUAUUUUUGUUUUUUAUUUUGUAUGCAUAAUACUUAAGAAAUUAAACGGUAUAUAUAUUUAUUAAGUAGCUUUAAAUUUAUUAUUUUAGAUCGGAUUGGAUUUUUGUUAGAAAAAUAUAUUAUUAUUGUUCGGAUUUGGUUUUUGUUAGAAAAUAUAUAUUUUAAAUUGACGAUCGAAUUAGUUCAUUGUAUUCAUAUAGGGUCAAGGAGUGUAGCUUUAAAAAAUUAUCAAAAUCGGAGUUAAAAUAACCAUUAAAUCGUGAUUUUUCAUUAUAACCGUCGAAGAGUUUUGUCCCAUUACUUGAUCUCUGAAUGUUUAUUUUUUCCGAUUUUUAGCGUAUAUGAUCUCGAAGUAUAAACAAACAAGUUUGACGGUUGGAUCGUUGAAACUAGUUUUUUUUAAUGCAUAUGCCAUCAAAACAAUAUAUUCACUAACAAUUAAGAGUUUAUUUAUACUUUCGUUAAAUAUAACAUAAGAUUUUGUGGUAUCCACUAGUGUAAAUAUUUUAAAUUGAAGAUCAAAUUCAGUCAUUGUAUUCAUAUAGGGUCAAGGAGUGUAGCUGUAAAAAAUCAUCAAAAUCGGAGUUAAAAUAACCGUUAAAUCAUGAUUUUUCAUUUAUAACCGUCGAAAAAUUUUGUCCCGUUACUUGAUCUAUGAAUGCUUAUUUUUUCCGAUUUUUGGCGUACAUGAUCUCGAAGUAUAAACAAACAAGUUUGACGGUUGGAUUGUUAAAAUUAGUUUCGUAGAAUGUGUAUGCCAUCAAAACAAUAUAUUCACUAACAAUUAAGAGUUUAUUUAUAUUUUCGUUAAAUAUAACAUAAGAUUUUGUGGAGUGUAAAUAUUUUAAAUUGAAGAUCAAAUUCAGUCAUUGUAUUCAUAUAGGGUCAAGGAGUGUAGCUGUAAAAAAUCAUCAAAAUCGGAGUUAAAAUAACUGUUAAAUCAUGAUUUUUCAUUUAUAACCGUUGAAAAGUUUUGUCCCUUUACUUGAUCUCUAAAUGUUUAUUUUUUCCGAUUUUUGGCGUAUAUGAUCUCGAAGUAUAAACAAACAAGUUUGACGGUUGGAUCGUUGAAACUAGUUUCGUAGAAUGUGUAUGCCAUCAAAACAAUAUAUUCACUAACAAUUAAGAGUUUAUUUAUACUUUCGUUAAAUAUAACAUAAGAUUUUGUGGUAUUCACUAGUGUAAAUAUUUUAAAUUGAAGAUCAAAUUUAGUCAUUGUAUUCAUAUAGGGUCAAGGAGUGUAGCUGUAAAAAAUCAUCAAAGUCGGAGUUAAAAUAACAAAUAAAUCAUGAUUUUUUAUUUAUAACCGUCGAAAUGUUUUGUCCAUUACUUGAUCUAUGAAUGUUUAUUUUUUCCGCUUUUUGGCGUAUAUGAUCUCGAAGUAUAAAAAAACAAGUUUGACGGUUGGAUCGUUGAAACUAGUUUCGUAGAAUGCAUAUGCCAUCAAAAUAAUAUAUUCACUAACAAUUAAGAGUUUAUUUAUACUUUCGUUAAAUAUAACAUAAGAUUUUGUGGUAUCCACUAGUGCAAAUGUUUUAAAUUGAAGAUCAAAUUCAGUCAUUGUAUUCAUAUAGGGUCAAGGAGUGUACCUGUAAAAAAAUCAUCAAAAUCGGAGUUAAAAUAACCGUUAAAUCGUGAUUUUUCAUUUAUAACUAUCGAAAAGUUUUGUCCCGUUACUAGAUCUCUGAAUAUUUAUUUUUUACGAUUUUUGGGGUAUACGAUCUUGAAGUAUAUACAAACAAGUCUUACGGUUGGAUCGUUGAAUGGUGUGUGUGUAUAUAUAUAUAUUUAUUAAGUAGUUUUAAAUUUAUUUAUUUUGUACGUAUAACACUUAAGAAAUUGAAUAGUAUAUACAUAUAUACAUUUAUUAAGUAGCUUUCACCUUAAUUAUAUUUUAAAUCAUAAAAUAAUUUUUUUUUUAUUUUUUCUUAUUCAAAACAAUUAUUUUUAUAAAUAUUCUGCUACGAACCAAUUUUUCGUCUCUCAAAAGUUUGCGCGACCAACAGUUCGUCGUGCAAAACUCAAAAAAUUUGUGCAAGUAACAAAAAUGGGACGCGGGUUUUUAAAAUUAAAAAAAAAACUUUAGACUUUGCGCGACCAAUAUAUAUUUUUCGUCGCGCAAAAAUUUGGGCGGGUACCAAAAAUGGGACGCGGGACUUUUUUUAUAUAAUUGUUUUAGACUUUGCGCGACCAAUAUGUACUUUUCGUCGCGCAAAAAUUUAAAAAUUUUGGCAGGUACCAAAAAUGGGAUGCGGGAAUUUUUUAAAAAAAAAAAUAAUUUUUUUUAGACUUUGCGCGACCAAUAUGUAUUUUUCGUCGCGCAAAGUUAAAUUUUGGCGGGAACCAAAAAUGGGAUGCGGGAAAUUUUUUUUUAAAAAAAUAAUUUUUUUAGACUUUGCGCGACCAAUAUUCCUAUAUUCGUCGCCCAAAACUUUGCGAGACCAAUAUGUUUCGUCGCGCAAAACUUUGCGCGACCAACAAUAUUUUUCGUCGCGCAAAGUGAUAUGAUUUUUAAAACCAAAAUAACUCCUCCACCAUUUUCUCAAUGUCUUUCUCUACUCUUACCUCUCCUCUCUCUUUCCCUCUCCCCAAAUUCCACCUUUUCUCUCACACUCACUCCUCUCACUUAAUCUCUCAUAUCUCUCUUCACUUUCUCUCACUCUCACUCACUCUCUCAUCUAUCUUUUCACUAUCUCUCACUCUCUCAUCUCUCUAUCACUAUCUUAUCUAAUUCUCUCACACUCACUUCUCCCUCUCAUUCUCACUCACUCUCAAUCUUGCCACAAAAGGUAUAUUCUCUCCAAAUUUUAAAUUUUUUUUCAUUAAUAUGUGUUUUUGGAGUUAGUUUUGAGUUUGUGUGGGGUUUGGGGUUGAGUAAAGGGGAGAGAUUGGAGUUUGGGUUGGAUUUGUGGUAUAACAAUUUUAGGGGAGAUUAUGCAUUCUUUUUUUGUUGUUGUUGUUAUUUGACCAUAUUUAUUUUUUUGUAGGUAAUCAUCAAGACUUUGAUGGCUAAAGUUGAGGAUUAGGAAGCUAUCAAAACAUAUCAUCUGUCACUACCACCACAAUACUCUUGUAUUAGGAUUUUAUUAUUGUACUUUGUUAAUUUAUGUGCACAUUUUGAAUAUUAUAUAUAUAUUUAUUGGAUAAUUUGAUCACUAUUUUUCAUAUGUAAUUUUAUUUUGAAUAUGUCAAUUUAAAUUAAAGUAAUUAAGAAAAAUCUUACAAUUAAGUUAAAUUUAAAAAGUAAAAAUUCGAAAAAAUUAAUAUCAACUUAAAUUAAAGUGAUUUAAAAAAAAUCAUACAAUUAAAUUAAAUUUAAAAAGUAAAAAUUUGAAUAAACUAAUAUAAAUAAAUUAAUAUUAAAGAAAUAAUAAAAUAAAAAGUCAAAAACCUUGCGCGACAAAAUAUUUUGUAGAGCAAACUAUUAAAUUAGUUUAUUUUAAUUAAAAAAAUUUAAAACACAAAAAAUAUUUAGUCGCGCAAAUAUUUGCGCGACGUUAGUAUUCAUCACGCAAAACUCUAAAGAUGUAGGCAGGUACCAAAAAUGGGACGCGGAAAUUUUUUAUUUUUUAUAAAUUUUUUUGAGACUUUGCGCGACAAAUAUUUUUCGUCGCGCAAACCUUUGCGCGACCAAUGUGUUUCGUCGCGCAAACCUUUGCGCGACCAAUGUGUUUCGUCGCGCAAAACUUUGCACGACAAAUAUUUUUCGUCGCGCAAACCUUUGCGCGACCAAUGUGUUUCGUCGCGCAAAGUUUUGUGCGACCAAUAUUUUUUCGUCGCGCAAAGUUACUUUGCACGACCAAUAUUUUUUAGUCGCGCAAAGUCACUUUGCGCGACCAAUGAAAAAACUUGGUCGCGCAAAGUCUUUCUUCACGAUCUUUGCGCGACGGAUUCUGCGCGACGAAGUUUCUGUCGCGUUAAAAUUUGUGCGACUACAAUGUAUUUUGCGCGACGAAAUUCUCUUCGUCGCGCAAAGUGUAAAAUGUAGUAGUGUGAAUCUAAUAUUAUUUUACCACUCAAUUAAAAUUAUUGAAAUUACAAUUGGAUAUCGAAACGGUUUUUGAUUUAUCUAAUAUUCGUUGCGCAAAGUGUAAAAUGUAGUAGUGUGAAUCUAAUAUUAUUUUACCACUCAAUUAAAAUUAUUGAAAUUACAAUUGGAUAUCGAAACGGUUUUUGAUUUAUCUAAUAUUUUGCAAAGAUGAUCUAUGAAUGUAGACUUAAAAAAUAGAUGGUUUCAAUCGUUGAAAAAAGAUUCAUAAGAAACCCUAAAAGGUAUCCCUCAAAUAAAAGUAUUUGAAGAAUCCCUCAACAUAUAUAAAGUAUGUGUGAUUUCAAUUUUUCAAUAGAAAAAGAUACCAAUUAAAGUCGGCCAGUGUCCCACAAUCCCCAGCCACAACACAAUCUUGCCUUCAACAAUGCCUAGAUCCUUAGUUGCGAUAAGAUAUUUGAAGAAGCUUGGGGAAUAAAAUGCCUUAAGAGACUGUUUAGGGGUGGUAGAAAUUCACCUAACUCGGGCAUGAGAAGAAUAACGGCCGGGGUUUGGAGGCCGGGAUUGGAGAAGUUAGCGACCGGAAAUGUCGGGGUUCCUGUGGCCGAAAUGUUGGAGAAUUUGGGAGAUCUCAGCCGGGUCUUGAAGGAGUCUCGUGGCGGCCGAGAUUUGGAGCAGCCAGUGUCUUGGGCCGAAUAUGUGGCUGGAGUACUUGGAGGGCUACGGGGCAGGCCUGAGCCCGAGUUUUUCUAAUUGAGGCCGGGUCUUCGGCUUUGAGCAGACAAGGCUUCGGAAAAUGCGGCUGGGGUAUUUGGUCUCUUUACAAGCUGGGCUGAAAGGGUUUUGGUUUGGAGUAGACAAAGCUUUGGAGAAUGGCGGUUGGAGCUUUGUGGAUUUGUUAACAGCUGAAGGGUUUUCUAGGUUGGAAGUUUAAUUGUCUUAUUCGAUAUAUACAUACAUAUUUUCAAAUAAGUGGGGCUGGAACUUCAAGAUAAUUGCGCCCGAGGCUUUAUUGAACCUCCUUUGUCUAAUUUUAUAUAUACGUAAUAUUUUUAUAUAAAUGCAAUUGCCUUGGAUUAUUGCAAGUGCGGCUGGAGGUUCCCAAGCUUAAGCCCUCCAUAUCCUGUUGUAUGAUAAUAUAUAUAUAUAUAUAUAUGUGUGUGUGUGUGUAAGUAUAUAUAAACAAAUGAACCUGCAUGUGCGGCUAGGUACUCAAGCUGAGGCAUUCCUCAUCCUAUUAUAUAUAUUAUAUGACUGACAACAUAAGAAAAAUCAGAGGCUCAAGUUCAAGACACCAACCCGAGCUCAGGAUUUUCCGAGGAUUACAUGCACGUGACGGAGGCUUUGCAAGGGAAGAAAUCAAGGAGGUUGAUAAUAAUUUCAAAUGUUCCAAAGCAAUAAGAAAUAAUCAAGCAUGUCAGACUAUCUCCUUCAAUGCAAUCCCACGAAUUUAGGGGGGCCUCAGAAGGAAGGAAAUUUUAAAAGAGUUGACCUUUGGCCAUUCAAUGGCCAGCCCAUGGGCUGACGAAUGCCCUAUAUAAACCUUGCUCAACAAAGGCAGAAGACAUAACAUCAGACAAACAAACUUAUCUUUUGUCUCGCACUUUUCUUUUCCUAGACUUAGAAUUUUACUUUUCAAGCACCUAGUGUAGUGAGUUCUUCCUUUUUUUAGUGUAAGUUUAUAUUUUUCUUGUCAUUUAAAUUCUUGUUUGAUUUAUAUUUCUUGUCAUUUAAAUUCAAGUUUAUUUUCAUUCCUUUAUAUUUCAUUGUUAUCGCACUUCAAUUAAGUUUAAUUUCAAGUUUGUUUAUUUUAUCGUUCUUAGCGUUCUUAUCGCUUUUAUUUCGUUCUUACUUUAUUUAGCGUUUUGAUUUAUUUUAUCGCACUUCAAUUCUUGUCUUUACGUUUAUACACGUAUUUAGUUUAAUUGCAUUAUUUUUACAUAAAACUCUAAAAAUCACAAAAACAUCCGUAUGAAACCUAACCAUCCUCGAGCCAGAGGAAGUGAAAGAAUCUAGGCCAAGAGGAGGUUCCUUGCUUGGCCGAUCAAUCGUUUGGUCAGAAGUUAGUGCUAAAAUAUGAAAACUAUGAGAGAAUAUUUGUUUGUGGGAAUUUUCUGUGUAUUCUUCUCCUUGUAGGAGGUCAUAUUUAUAAUACAACGAAACCUGAAUGGGCAAGUAAAUAAUAAAUUCCUAAAUCUAUUUGCAGUAGGAAAUCAGGAAUUAAAGUAAAUCAAUUACAAUUAUAAUAGGAAUUCUUAGUGUGUAAGGAAAGUAAGUCAAUAUCCACAAGUCACGCCAACACUCCCCCUCACGUUGGUGCAUAGAUGUCGCCAAUGCCCAACUGAUCUAGUGAAUUGUGGAAUGCUUUACUGGAAAUCGCCUUUGUCAAAAUAUCCGCCAAUUGAUCCUCGGAUUUCACAAAAGGAAACUGAAACACUUUAGCCUCAAGCUUUUGUUUGAUGAAGUGUCGAUCCACCUCAACAUGUUUAGUACGAUCAUGCUGAACCGGAUUCUGUGCAAUGGCUAUAGCAGCCUUGUUAUCACAAAAGAGAUUCAUUGUGGAUGUAGGUUUAUACCCAAGUUCAGUAAGCAACUUUCUUAACCAAAGAAGUUCACAAAUCCCUUUAGUCAUGCCUCUGAACUCGGCUUCUGCACUGGAUAAAGCUACUACAUUCUGUUUCUUGCUUCUCCAUGUCACCAAAUUACCUCCCACGAAUGUGAAGUAACCCGAUGUGGAUUUUCUAUCUGUUACAUUACCUGCCCAAUCUGCAUCUGAAUAACCAUCAAUAUUUAGAUGACCAUGCUUUGAGAACAUAAGUCCUUUUCCAGGUGCAGACUUCAAAUAUCUAAGUAUCCGAAGAACUGCAUUCAUAUGGUCUUCACUUGGAGAGUGCAUAAAUUGACUGACAACGCUCACCGCAUAAGCAAUGUCUGGUCGAGUAUGUGACAAAUAGAUCAAUCUUCCCACUAACCUUUGGUAUCUUUCUUUGUUAGUUGGAACUUGAUCCGGAUAUUCUCCAAGAUGAUGAUUCUGAAUAAUAGGAGUGUCCGCAGGUUUACAAUCUAGCAUUCCUAUGUCUGUCAACAAGUCUAAGACAUAUUUCCUUUGAGAGAGAAAUAUGCCUUGCUGCGAUCGAGCCACCUCAAUUCCCAAGAAAUACUUGAGUCCACCUAGAUCCUUCAUCUCAAACUCCGUAGCCAGAUAGUCUUGUAGCUGUGAUAUUUCCUGUUUAUCAUUCCCAGUAAUAAUCAUAUCAUCAACAUAAAUUAUUAAUGCUGUUACCUUCCCUUUUCGAUGUUUCAAGAACAAAGUAUGAUCUGAGUUGCACUGUUUGAAACCAUUAUUCUUCAUUGCCAUGGUGAACCGUCCAAACCAUGCACGUGGUGACUGUUUCAAUCCAUACAAUGCUUUUCGUAACCUGCAAACUGUUCCAGUCUGAGUAGUAUUAUAUCCAGGAGGAAUGUCCAUGUACACCUCCUCCGUGAGUUCGCCAUGUAGAAAAGCAUUCUUUACAUCAAACUGGUGUAGUGGCCAAUCUAAAUUAGCUGCAAGGGACAAUAAGACUCUGACGGUGUUUAACUUUGCAACGGGAGCAAAGGUUUCUUCAUAGUCUAUACCAUAGGUCUGUGUGUACCCUUUUGCCACAAGUCUUGCCUUGUAUCGCUCGAUAGAUCCAUCUGCAUUGUGUUUUAUAGUAAACACCCAUCUACAUCCGAUAGUCUUUUUUUCUCGGGGUAUAAUCUCCAAUGUCCAAGUUUGAUUUUUCUCAAGGGCUUUCAUCUCCUCUUUUAUAGCUUGGACCCACUUAGGAUCUUUCAAUGCUUCAGAGACCUUGGUUGGAAUAUGGAUAGCAGACAACUGAUGCACAAAAGCCUUAAGUGGUUCAGACAGCUUCUCAGUGGAUACAUGAUUUGCAAUUGGAUACUUGGAUGUCUUGCCAAUAUCAGGUGAAUAACGGUUUGGUGGCUUCCCACGAUUUUGCCUGAAAGGUAAUUGAUAUCCAAUAGUUUUAUCAUCUAAAUGCACAAGUCUAGUAGGAGUAGUUACCUCAAGGAUAUUCUCAAGAGAUUGGUCUGUUGGUACUGUUGAGUUAGAGGGGGGGCUUCAUCUUGUUGUUCUGUAUUGUCUGUAAGUGUGAGACUCGGAUCAGAAAUAUCUUCGCGUGGAUCAGGUGGGUCAGGCAAUUGAUCGCUAUAAAUGGGCGAUUGGUCGCUUUUCGACAGAGAGUAAUCUCGUGCUCCAGACUCGGAAUGAUCAAUCAUUUCUGUACAAAGGAGAAUUUCUUGAUUUUCCAAGUUGCUCCAAUUCUGCUCUUCACGUCGUAUCUCCCCUUGAAGUGUAGAAUUGGAUGAUGGGUCAUGGAAGAACAGCUCAGAUUCCAGAAAGGUCACAUCCAAAGUGACAUAGGUUCGUUGGGUAGGAGGGUGAUAACAACGGUAGCCUUUCUGAUGAGUGGCAUAACCCACAAAAACACAACGAAGCGCACAUGGAUCAAGUUUGCUACGUUGAUUUUUGUGGAGAUGAACGAAAGCCACACAUCCAAAGAUUCGGGGUGUGAGUACCAAAACAGAAGGCAGAGGUCUGUGUUGUGCAAGCACCUGUAAGGGAGUUUUAAAGGUCAGUACACUAGAAGGCAUGCGGUUGAUCAGAUGAACUGCGGUGACAAUAGCAUCAUCCCAGUGAUGGCGAGGAACAUGAGCGCCAAUCAGAAGUGCUCGGGCGGUUUCAAGAAGAUGUCGAUUCUUUCGUUCAGCAACACCAUUUUGUUGUGGUGUCUGAGGACAAGUCGUCUCAUGGAUAAUUCCAUGUUGUUGGAAGUAAGUUUGAAAGUCAUGAUUGACAAAUUCUCCACCAUUGUCGGAGUGAAGAAUCUGGAUUUGAGCAUUAAACUGAGUUUUCAUCUGUUUGUGGAAGGACUGAAAACAGGAAAACACUUCGUUUUUAUUCUUCAGCAAAUAAAGCCAUGUCAUCCGUGUACAAUCAUCGAUGAAUGUGACAAACCAUCGAACACCAGAAGGAGCAGUGAUAGGAGAAGGUCCCCAGACAUCAGAGUGAAUUAACGUAAAUGGAGUAGUACACUUGUUCGUACUCAACGGGUAGGGCACACGGUGACUCUUGGCCAAAAUACAAGUAUCACAUGUGAAGUCAGAGUCCUUGAAACCUGAGAAUAAAUCUGGUAUAAGAUGCUUCAUAUAACUAAAAGAAGGAUGUCCCAAUCGACGAUGCCACAACCAGAUUUGCUUUUGUUUGCUAUCAAAGGGAUGUGUCACGCUGUUAGCCAUGCCGGGACUGAAGUCAUCGACAUAAUAUAGCCCCCCUCUCUUAGUACCACGACCAAGAAUCUCCUUAGUGUGAAUAUCCUGAAGCAAACAAAAACUCGGGUAAAUGAGUACACAACAAUUCAAUUGUUCAGUAAGCUGACUAACUGACAAUAAUUUAGUGGAUAAAGAUGGAACAAGUAAAGUAUUAGACAGUGUGAGAGAGGAUGAGAGUGCAACAGUGCCAGCCCCUGUCACAGGAUAAGUAACACCAUUGGCAUUUGCAAUACAGGUUCGUCGAGGUUGUGUAGUAUUCAGAAAAUCAUCAGGAUCAAACGUCAUAUGAUCAGUUGCACCAGAAUCAAUUAUCCAGCUCCUGGAAUUAAUCUUAUCGGAAGUAUGGAAUCCAUAACCAGUACCAUUACUGGUCAUAUUGCAUUGUCCUUGAUCUAUAAGAGUAGCCCACCAAUUGGGGUAGCCAUGCGAUUUAAAACAAGUCUCACAAGUGUGUCGUGGAUCACCACAAUAUGCGCAAUCUAGUCCACGUGUCGGGGUCGUUAGUCUAGAAGUCAUAAUUUGUGCAGCGGAAGAUGCAUAGGAUACAGGUUGAGUAGGAAUUGGGAUCGGAAUCUGAGCCUGAGUCGGGGCCGGAGUCGGAGUCGAAAUUGGGAUCAGGGUCUGAAUCAGAGACAAAUUCGGGUUUGGGGUCAUCAUCGGAGUGGGGGUCGGGGUCGUCUUCGGAGUCGGGGUCGGGGUCGUCGUCGUCAUAGUCGGGGUCGGGGUCGGGGUCGUCGUCGUCAUAGUCGGGGUCGGGGUCGGGGUCGUCGUCGUCAUAGUCAGUGUCGGGGUCGGGGUCGUCAAAAAAGAAUCCGGAUUCUGGAUCGGGUUCAGGGUCAAAGUCUGCAUCUGUAGGAGCGGAGCCAUCUGGGCACUCAACUCAAUGAUGGUUGGUGGAGAUUGAGAGAAGGAGUCGGUGGUGCUACCUCCAUGAGGGUUGAAAAAAUCAUCAACCCCCAUAGCAGCGGCGGGGGUUUGAAACUAGAGUCAGCAAUUCCAAGAUCGCCGCUCUGAUACCAUGCUAAAAUAUGAAAACUAUGAGAGAAUAUUUGUUUGUGGGAAUUUUCUGUGUACUCUUCUCCUUGUAGGAGGUCAUAUUUAUAAUACAACGAAACCUGAAUGGGCAAGUAAAUAAUAAAUUCCUAAAUCUAUUUGCAGUAGGAAAUCAGGAAUUAAAGUAAAUCAAUUACAAUUAUAAUAGGAAUUCUUAGUGUGUAAGGAAAGUAAGUCAAUAUCCACAAGUCACGCCAACAGUUAGAAGCGCAACACAUCCAUCUAUUCUCAUUCCAUUCAAGCCCAAAUUCAGGGCUUGGUGGUGGCACACACUGCACUCCAAAAAAGAAGGAUAAAAAGUUCAUUCCGUUAGCCGCCCCGACCAAAGAAAGGGAAACAGAGACACUUUUGAAUCUUUGAAGUGCCUUAAAAGGUAUUAUGAAUAGCACUAUUGAAUGUUUGGAAGAUUGUUUGGUGCUUAGAAUUUCGUGGGAGGUUGACCCAUGGAUAUGGUUGGUACAAAACACAUUAAUGAAAAAUAGGGAUAAGCACAAAUUGUGAGAGGUGAAGAUAUUAUCUUCCUUAAGAGAUUGAAAGGAAUCAAUAUCAUACUUUAUCUGGUUUCCUUUUUCUUUGCUUGAGAACUGCAUAUGAUAAAUCUUUCAAAUAAACUUAUUUGAGGGGUAUUUUUGUAGAGCUCACUGUGUAUUGUAUUUGAACAAUUCAAACUGUCUAUUUAAUAGAUUAGAGUGCUACUAAACGAACCCUAAUAUUAACUGAAUACACCAUACUACUAAACUAUUUAUUAAAUUACUAAUUUACCCUAAUAUAAACUAAAAACAAAUAUAUUGAAUUGUGAAACAAAUGUAAUUUUAAUAAGUGCACCUUACUAACGCGGAUCCUCUUGUUGUUUUUUCUCAAUUUGUUUGACUUUUCUUUUAAGCAUCCCACAUCAUUUAAAAAAAUAUCUAAAACAUGACACCCAUAUUUUUGCCUACAAUCUUCUUCUCCAUCUUAGCAUUUGGACAACCGAACUCUUUUCUCUCUCAAAACCAAGCUCAGCAGAACCUCUUCUCCUUUCAAUCAGUCUUCUUCUCCAAACAUAUAAUUUUUUCAUUUUCCUCAUCUUUCAAUUCACGAAAUUUCCUAUAAUAUUUGAAGCCCCUUGUAAAACUUGUUUUCUCCUAUUUACCCCCACAAAAGUAGCCACACGAAUCAUAUUGGGACUUAAUUAUAUCAGCAAGCAAGGCAAUCAAAGUUGUUUUUUGGUUUCAGAUAUUGGAUUCAAAAAACAAAAAAUUAUUUUUUAAAAAUCAGAAAGAGAAAAAUUAAAAAAACAGACUGCAUGAAAUAUUGUGUUUCUUGAGAAAAAAAUUAAAAACCCCCGAAGCUGCAAAAUUGAGUGUUUUAAUAAGAAUGAUUCCCUUACUGAGUAUUACUUAUUAUUUGAUUUAGGAUCAAUAUCAAAGAAUUCUAUUGAACGUUUUUGUGUUAUUAGUUAUAUUUAGGAUAUAUAAAAAAGAACAAUAUUGUCCAGAGUGUACAGUUAAAAACUUUGAGAAUCAAAGUAUGGGGAAAGGGAUCGUGGGGAGAUGAAUGUUGUUGGUCUUUUUUUGAAGAGGUAGUGUAUUAGGGUGUAUCAAGGGUAUUUUUGGUAGUUAAAUAGGGUGUACUUUGUUAAUUUUACAUUUUAAUUAGGGCGUACUCAGUUAAUUUUAGGGUUCAUUUAGCAGCACUCAUAGAUUAUCUCUUUAAAAAAUCACACAAAUUGACGGGUAUUUUUGUAGAGCUCAAUUUGUAUUGUAUUUCAACAAUUUGAAUUGUCUAUGUCAUAGAUUAUAUCGCUUUAAAAAAGCACCCGAAUUGAACUUUUUUAACCAUUUGAUUGAAUAGUAGUCAUUUAUUAAGUGUGUGUCUAUUUGUCUCAUCACAUUUAUAUAUGUUUGAAUGGUUUACAAUUUGUUCAAAUAAAUGAAAUGCAAAGUGGAUGAACCCUAGAAAGUGUCGUAUUUGAAAAAUAUAUAAAUAAAAUGAUAACCUUACACAUAUUUGUUUAUUUUAUAUAAACAUCACCACAAACAUAGAAUAAACAGUUGCAAAACAACAGAAAACUUCUAAUAGUCAAAAAACAUCCUUUAGCUUACAUGAUAGAAACAGAACAACUGCCUUUUCCCACAACACUUCUAUUCAACUGAGCAUCUUAUAUCUUCUUCAGUUGCAUUAUUUGCAAAAUUUGUUCCUCUGUUUGCAAAUAUGAAGCAUUUUUCAAACAUCUAGCAUAUUGCUGAAACAUCUAUCACUAGAUCACAUCUUACAAAAGUUAUUCUUCUGUAUUUGUUGUCGCUACUUUUCUUCUAAUUAAUAGUCUAAUCAAUCUAAUAGAGUUUGUUGUUGCAAUUCCAAAAGAGCUCAAGCCAGACAAACACACAUACACCUGCGUCAAAAUUCACUUUGACCAUUGACGCGUUGAGUUAGAAACUUUCCUUCUUCUUGGUUCAAAUUUAGGGAAGGAAGAUAAUAAGGAAAGCUCAACAAUUGUACCUAUAAGUUCCUCUUAACUUUUGACUAUUUUGGGAUUUUUUUUUUAUUGUUAUAGCAACAAAAAAAAAAAAAUUUAUUUUGAUAAUUUUAAUUUUUUGAAGGGAAAAAUUCUUUUGAUAUUUAAACCUUAAUCAUAGCGUAAAACCUACAUCUUCUUUUAUAUCACAUCACCAUCUUUUAAGUUAAACUUUAUGUGUCGUAUUGAUCACAUUUGCUAACUCAUCGAUAAAGAUAAUUCUCUCACUUUAUUAAGAAAUAUGACCCACGAAUAAGGAUGAGUAAUUGCCAAGUCAGUUUAGUGCAUCUGAUACCAGUGCUGAUCUUUUCGCUUUCUACUUCAACUCUAUAUUUCUUCUUUGUUAUUUUCUUACAUGAAUAAAAUUCUUUGAUAUUGCAAGGAAAGUUGUUUUCUUCUCCUCUUUUCUUCUAUUUUUUUUUAAUAAUAAUAAAUUUCCUUGAAAAGUGAUUACAUAACAAACAAGAGAGAGUAUGCAAGAGAGGAGGGGCUAGCUUUAAAUAUAUUUUAUAUAACAUAAGAAGUGAUUUGUACAUAUAAUUACAAGCGGACACAUAUACAUAUAGGCGCAGAAAAUAAGCUAGCUUAGACUGUAGGCUAGCUAUCCAAACCACUUCUACAUCUGAUAUACAUACAUAUUCUAUAUUACAGAGAGCUUCAUUAGUUAACUAAUUACUUAUACCAAACUAAGUUGGUAAUAAUUAGCGGCGAACCUUGGGGUACUCUCUUAUCUCUAUGCCCCCAAAUAGCAGGGCUGCGUCCUUGCUAUUAAGAACAGCCUGAUCAUUCCUAAGAGGAGCUGGUUGUCUCCCGGAACGAGCUUGUUGGUCUUGAGAAAAUGGAGACCUCUUGCUGGGCUGGCCACAGAACUUGUCUAGCAUGGCAAAAGCCUCCAUUCCAAGCCUUGCUAGCUCUUCUUGAGUUGCCAUAAUAAUAUUGCUAAAAUUUAGUACAAGCACACAAAACACAGAUGCACGAAGCAGGUCAGGUAAUUUGGUUUGCCUUUGUUUUCUUGGUAACAACGGUUUGCGGCCACGCCCCAUUAUGUAGGAGUUAAAAAGGCGAAUAUGGAAGAUUUUUUGUUGCUAAGAAUUUCGUGCAGGUUGACAGACGGAUAUGGUUGGUACAAAAAACAUUAAUGAAAAAUAGGAAUAAGCACAAAUUGUGGGAGGUGAAGAUAUUAUCUUCCUGAAGAGAUUGGAAGGAAUCAAUAUCAAACUUUAUCUGGGUUUACUUUCUUUGCUUGAGAGCUGCAAUGAUGGAUUUUUCAAAUAAAUAUUUCAACGUUUAUCUCUUCAAAAAAUCACACAAAUUGACAGGUGCACAUGCAUGUGAUAAAUACUCAAAUAAACUUAUUUGAGGGGUAUUUUUGUAGAGUUCAAUUGUAUUGUACGUAUUUCAACAAUUUGAACCAUCUAUAUCAUUGAUUAUAUAUCUUUAAACAAGCACCCGAAUUGAAUUUUGGGAGAUUCACUAUUAUACCCAAUAUGGGGGCCCAAAUUAUAAAAAUAUCAUAUAUAAAAUGGACUUUAGAAACACACCCAAAGCCCAUUUACAACAUAACAAAAAAGCUUUUAACUUCUUAUAAAUUACAAAACUGCCAUCAAUUUCUUAAAACAAGCCCAACCCCAAAAUCUCAUAAAAAUACCCAAAACACUCAAUAGGGCAUCAAAGUAAUUUAAUAAUCAAUAUUAAAUUCAAUAAGGCCAGCUAUCAUUUUUUGGGUUUUUUUUGGGUUUGUUUAUAGGAAUUCAAUUGUGUAGGGUUUAUUUAUAAUAUUAGUGCUAGAAAUGGGUAUAUCACUAAAUAUCUCUUGAAUUUUUUUCGAGUGCUGAUUUUCUCCCUCCUCUUUUGUUCACUUACACUCCAUUUUGUCUUUUUAAGGGAGUGUAAGUAGACAAAAGAGGAGUGAGAAAAUUAACUUCCUUUUUUUAAAACCAUUUGAUUGAAUAGUACAUAAUUUAAGUAUUUGUCUAUUUGUCUAGUCACAUUUACAAUUUGUUCAAUAUUUUAUAAGGAAAAUCUGUGAAUGAAACUUGAAAAUUAGAAAGUGGAUGAACCCUAGAAAGUGUCAAUAGAAUGAUAACCUUACACAUAUUUGUUUAUUUUAUAUAAAUAUCACAACAAACAUAGAAUAAACAGUUCUGCAAAACAACAUAAAACUUCUAAUACUCAACAAAUACAUACUUUUAGGAGUGCAUCUUAUUUAUGCAUAUUUUUCAAUAUCUUUUGUUUAUUCCUUCUUUCUUGUUAUUAUUAAAUUCCUACUUGUCUCUCAAGUAUUUUGAUUGAUAAUUACGUUGGUAUUUCCUUGGGACUCAAGUGUGAUUAUGCUUUGAAUUGAAAUAUAUAUUUUUGAAUAAAAAUCAGUCUUUAAUAGUGUAAUUAUCAAAAAUCUCAUUUUGAUUAGAAUUUUCCUCUUUUAUUGUUUUGGGCCUCACGUGUAAUCACCUUUAGCAUAGGAAAGUAUCUUUGUGAUUACUUUCAUGUCUUGCAAAUUAAAAAGGUUUUGUAGGUGGUUGGAACCGGGAUAUAGUAGAAAGAACUACGUGUGGCUUGAUCCUUUAGUAAGGGUACGUAGGUAGCCUAGAGUAGUGCCUAGGUGCAGCCGCGGCACUACUACAAAAAAGCAAAAAGACGACGGUAAAUCACCGUCGUUGUUACAAUAUACAACGUCAUCAACAAAUACAAAACGACGUCUUUGUACUGCAAAAAGAUCUAUAAAAGCAGUCGAGGAUGAGAAUAGACGACCAACUCUCUAAAAAAACCGUCGUUAAAAAGGAAAAAUAUGACACAUUAACAGAACAAGGCCGCAAUAUAGACAUACAACGACGAAAAUUUAAAAAAGACGCCGUUAAAUAUCAUUUUCACGACAAUAAAAAAUAUGACGUCUUUAAAUACAUUAGAAGACGACGUUAUUGAUACCUACUACGUCGCCUAUAUAAAAACAGCCGUCGUAAAAUAAAUUUUCCACUUCGAUUUUUCUAUAAAAGAUGACGUGGAAAUAGUUGUCAGUGUCAUUAUUUACGACGUAUGUAUUUAUAGAGUAGACGUUGAACAAGGAAACAACGUCAGUUACAAAUAUAUGAGAGUCGUAUUACAAAAUUUAUACGUCCUAUUUUCAGAAACAAACAACGACGAUAAAUAUUAGACGUUGUUAAAUAAACCAACGUCGAAAACAAAUAAAAAUAGACGUGUUUAGUCUGCUAAAGUUCUAAAAAAUAGUCGACGAUGAGAAUAGACGACCAACUCAAACAAAUCACCGUCGUUAAAAAGGAAAAAUAUGACACAUAUUAAAAGAACAAGGCCGCAAGAUAGACAUACAACGACGACAACUAAAACAUUACGCCGUUAAAUAUAAUUUUCACGACAAGAAAAAAUAUGACGUCUUUAAAUACAUGAGAAGACGACGUUAUUGAAAUAUACUACGUCUCUUAUUUACAAACAACCGUCUUGAAAUAAAUUUUCCACUUCGAUUUUUCUAAAAAAGAUGACGUGGAAAUAGUUGUCAGUUUCAUUAUUUACGACGUAUGUAUUUAUAUAGUUGACGUUGAAUGCGAAACAACGUCGGUGGCAUUUAUAUUGUCGACGUUGUAUUUAUAUGUAUUCAUUACUCACGACGCACUUAUUAAUAUAGACGACGUUGAACUUCUAAACAACGUCGGUUCCAAAUAAAUGAGAGCCGUAUUACAGAACAUAUAGACGGCGUUGAUUAUGAUGGGAGCCGUAUUACAAAUAACGUCGUUUAAUUGAUAUUAGACGGCGGUUAUAAUGAAUUACCGUCGGAAUUCUUUUCGUUCCUCUUCGUUUAUAAAAGAACUUGCGACAUGGAAAAUGUAUGAUGACGUCGUAUUUUUUAACGUUCAGAUUAUAUAUCUCGUUUUUUAGACGUCGGUAUUAUGGGAUUGGAGUCAUGUUAUUUUGAAUUACAUGGCGGUUCUUAAUCCUUUCCCGACGUGAUAUCCUGAAUAAUUGCUUCACAAUAGCGUCGUGGUUCUUCAUUGUUACGUUGCUUUAAGACGUCGGUAAAUAUGCUGAAUAACUGGUUCACAAUAACGUCGUGUUUUAUUUGAACGUAGAAAGUGAAGAAAUCACAUUACAAUAUAUUACAAAAUUAAUGUCAUACACUGCCAAUUACAUAAGCAUCAUUCAAUCCAUAUAUCUUCACACCCAUCUCGAAUAUUUUGACCGCCUAACUCACCCACCAGUUCAUCAAAUGUGUCAACAUUUGGCAUCCCUCUAGUAAAUGGCUCACACUCAAUUAUCACAUCACCUAAGACUUCAUCACCAAUAACAUCAUUAUAUUCUCUAUUAGGCAUUGAUAACACUACCGACUAACCACGAUGCAUCGGGUCGUCAACAAAAAAUAUUUGUUUGACUUGAGAAGCCAAAACAAAUUGGUCAUUCCUAUGUCCAAUUUUACUCAAAUCUACAAGGGUAAAUCCAAGUUCGUCGACUACAAGACCAGAACUAUCUAUCCAAUCACACCUAAAGACUGGGAUUGUAAACUUUUGGUAGUCAAGGUCCCAAAUUUCUUGAAUGACACCAUAGAAACCCAUAUUUGAGAGAAUUGGGUUUUUAUCCUUGGCACUAGCAACUUGCAUGGUAUGUGCAAGUAAAUAAACUCCACUAUUUUGAGUUGUCCGCACAUCAUCUUGUGCCUUGAUAUUGAAUUUAAUACCUUUAAUAAGAUAGCUCCUAUAUAAUGGCACUGCCAUGUUUGGACCAGCUGCUAGCCACCUUAAAUUUUCUGAUACGCCAUGAUUGUCUUCCUCAAGUUCACUUUGAACCUGCAAAUUAAUCAUAUAUCUUAAUUCAAUCUAACAUAGAAAUAAGAAGAAAAUUAAAAGAGAAAUAUGUUAUUCAACAACAUAUACCUUGAAGCGUAGCCAUUGAAUGAAAGUGCUAUUGUGCUUAUCCUGCAGCCACUUUGUUCUCUUUCUAAAUUUUGGAUAAGCAGUCUUGAUGUGGAUCAUAUGUUGCCUACAUGACACGAAAAAUUCAAGCAUUACGGUCCCAAAUAUAGAAGAUAAACAUAAGAAAUAAUUUAAAAUGGAAACUUAAAGAAUAAAACUCAUACGUACUCGAUAUAAGGUAGGACUUCCUCCGUAUUCUCCAAGACAUAUAGAUGUGCUUGAUUCAACAGGUCCUGAUCAACUACGCUCACUGUGCAACCUGAUAAUGGCUUUGAAAGUCCCAUCUUUUGGCUUGAAGGCACUCCAACUGUACUAACAUCAGAUAAAUGCUGAGUACAAAACUCUACCGCUUCUUCAGCUAUAUACCGCUCAGCAAUGCAACCUUCGGGACGAGUACGAUUCUGAACAUACCCCUUCAGAACUUUCAUAUAUCUUUCAAACGGAUACAUCCACCUAAAAUAUACUGGCCCACAUAGACGAAGUUCUCUGACAAGAUGUACUACUAGAUGAACCAUGAUAUCAAAGAAUGAAGGGGGAAAGUACUUCUCAAGCAAACACAGAGUAACUACUACAUCUUCUUCCAACUUAUCUAGCUUGGAAACAUCAACAGUCUUUGCACAUAUAGCAUUGAAAAAGAAGCACAAACGAGUUAUUGCAUACCUUGCAGGCUUCUCCAAAACAGAACGAAUUGUCACAGGGAGCAAUUGUUGCAUUAAGGUAUGACAAUCAUGUGAUUUAAGGCCAAGAAGUCUUGAAUCUUGUAAAGAUACAAGAUUUUUAAUAUUUGAAGAAUAACCUUCAGGGACCUUCAUACCAUAGAAAGAAUUGCAAACUUCUCUCUUCUCUGCUCUUGACAAAUUCCAAGGCCCAGGAGGCAAACGAGUACGUCUUUCUCCAUACUCGGGUUGCAAAUCAGUUUUGACCCCCAUGUUCAAUAAAUCUAAUCGAGCAGCAAUCCCAUCUUUAUUUUUUCCAGGGAUCUCCAGCAAUGUACCAAUAAUACUAUCGCAAACAUUCUUCUCAAUGUGCAUAACAUCUAGGGCAUGCCUCACAGGAAGGUAUUUCCAAUACUCGAGAUCAAAGAAUAUUGAUUUCUUCUUCCAACAAACUCUGUCACCAUUUUCAACCAUAUGCAGCACUUCUUCUCCGGUUAAUGGCUCGGGAGGUAUGCCAUAUUCAGGUUUCCCAUUAAAAGCUGCACGUUGCCUCCUAUAUGGAUGAUUGAUUGGUAACCAUUUUCUAUGCCCAAUGUAACAAAUUUUGUGGCCAUUUUUCAACCUGUGACUAGGUGUAUCAUCGCCGCAUAUUGGACAAGCUUUAUAUCCUUUAACAACACAACCAGAUAAGUUUCCAUAGGCGGGGAAAUCAUUAAUUGUCCACAUUAAUGCAGCUCUGAGUGUAAAGUAUUCUCCAUUAUGUGCAUCAUACACUCCUCUAAUCCCAUCCCACAAAGAUUUUAAAUCAUCAAUCAAAGGCUCCAAGUAGACGUCUAUAUCAUUUCCGGGUUGUUUAGGACCGGAAAUCAAUAAGGUUAACAUCAUGAACUUUCGUUUCAUGCACAGCCAUGGAGGGAGAUUAUAUGUAACUAAGAUAACCGGCCAACAACUAUAUCUGCUACUUAGAGAACUGUGGGGAUUGAAUCCAUCAGAUGAAAGAGCCAAUCUCAAGUUUCUCGGCUCAUUACCAAACUCAGGCCAUUUAUCAUCAAGAAGUUUCCAAGACGGGGAAUCCGCCGGAUGAGACAUCUGACCAUCAAUUGAUUUUCUAGCAGCAUGCCAAGUCAAACUCUUAGCUGUCUCAUGUGAAUGAAACAUCCUUUUAAACCUUGGAAUUGGAGGAAAAUACCACACCACCUUCGCUGGCACACCUUCUUUCAAGAUUGAAUCUUUGCCUUCCUUCCACCUUGAGAUACCACAAGUAGGACAAUUAGUUGAAUCCUCAUACUCCUUCCUAUACAAGAUGCAAUCAUUGGGGCAUGCGUGCAUUUUCUCAUAACUCAGCCCCAAUGCACACAAAGUCUUUUUAGCCUCAUACAUAGAGGUUGGUAUUGUAUUUCCUUCUGGAAGCAAAUCGCCUUGAAGUAUCAAUAAUUCUGUAAAACAGACAUCACUCAUCCCAUGUUUUGCCUUCAAAUUAUACAACUUCACUAAUGCCGAUAACUUCGUGUACUUUCUACAACCAGGGUACACUAGUUGAUCUCCAUCCCCAAUCACAUUGGCAAACUCAUACGGAUCGGAACCAAAAUCACCAAAAUCAUUAUCAUCCAUAUCAAUUUCUUCAGACACAAAACUGUACCUACUAUGGCCAUCAUCUUCUUCAACAUUUCUACUAGCAUUAGUAGUUGCUUCCCAAGGUUCUCCGUGAAAUGUCCAAUUCUUAUAGCUUUGGUCAAUUCCAUUAAAGUAUAAGUGAUCCCUUAUAAUUCCAACCCCAAACAACUUCAAAUUAACACAUUUAACACAUGGACAACGGAUAUGUGUUGUAGUUAGAAGAUUUUCUACAGCAAAGUUCAAAAAUGCUUCCACCCCAAACUCAUAUGCCUUCGAUCUUCUAUCCGAGUGCAUCCAUGACUUAUCCAUCUCCGACACUAUAACCUAUUAUCUAUAAUAAAGUGAAAAUACAGGCAAUGACCAUCACUAUAGCAGAUUAUACAAAGAUCUAAUAGCAAGUAAUACACAACAGAGACGACGGGUUUUAAACAAAAACAGACGUAUUUGGCAUAUAUAGACGACGGAUUUUCAACAGACGUCGUCUAAUAUAAGUAAUACAAACGACGGUUUAUGAAAAAAUCGUCGUGUAUAAGUAAUACAACGACGGUUUUUUCAUAAACCGUCGUGUAAUCGUCGUCGUAUGCCUAAAAAGGCGUCGUGUCUCAGUUUAUUUUCAAGAACCCAAAACCCAUUAAGAACACAACAUAUAUAUGAAACCAAGCAAGAAACCAACAUAUACAUGAAAUCACUAUAGCAGAUUAUACAAAGAUCUAAUAGCAAGUAAUACACAACAGAGACGACAGGUUUUAAACAAAAACAGACGUAUUUGGCAUAUAUAGACGACGGAUUUUCAACAGACGUCGUCUAAUAUAAGUAAUACAAACUAAAAAGGCGUCGUAUGCCUAAAAAGGCGUCGUGUCUCAGUUUAUUUUCAAGAACCCAAAACCCAUUAAGAACACAACAUAUAUAUGAAACCAAGCAAGAAACCAACAUAUACAUGAAACCAAGCAUGAAAACAAUAAAUCCAUUCCCAAUUCAACAUAACAUAGGGUGAUUAAAAGAUCUGACAAAAUUAAAUCCAUUCCCAAUUCAACAUAACAGAUAAUGUAAUCCAUGAACCCAUUAAACAGAAAAUUCAUGAACCCAUUAAACAGAAAAUCCAUGAACUCAUACCUAUAAGCACAUUAUUAACAGAUCGCAAAGCAUAUACCUAAAACCCUUUAACAAAACAACCUAAUAUCAUUCAAUGAAUUUACAAGGGGAAGAUAGGGUUUGUACUUACAGGUUGGACGAGCUCACAGAUUCGACGGAGCCUGGAGAGUGCAACUUUUAAUUAGAGCAGAAGUGAAAGAGCGAAUGUUAUGUUGCGCGAAAUCUGAAAAUUUUAGGGUUCAGGGUUAGAAGUAUAAGAAUAAGAGCCAAAUAUAAAAAAUUUAGGGCGCGCGAAAAUUUUUAGAGCGCGCGCUCUUUAAAACGUCGAAAGAAAAACCAUGGCGAAAGUUCAACAAGAACCGACGUAAAUGUAAUAUUCCACGACGGAAACACUGAACGUAACGCCGUUUCUUUUGACGCUUCAUUUUUCGGAUUAAUUUUAAAUUUAUUUUGAAUAUUUUGAUAUAAAGACGACUGAAAAACCACGUCGAAGUUAAGAAACUGAAAACGUUGUAAAUUAUAAUAAACGACUUACAUAUUAAAAUGACGUCGUUUAAAGUGGAAACCAUGUCGAAUAUUUUACUGCACGACGUAACAUAUGUAUUCCACGACUCAACCACCGUCGUUAACAAUUAAUACCCUAAACCCUUAAAACUAAAUUAUAUAAUUUUAAAAAUUAAGUUUAUAAAAGGGUUUAUGGUUUUACAGCCUAAUAUAUACCCUAGACUACCCAAAAAUUAUACUUUAAAACGAAACAACAAAAAACGACGGCUUUUGACUUUAUUACGUCGUUGGAAAAGUAUUACACGUCGUUUACGCAAUUUGUAUGUUUGUUUUUUUUUAAUUUAAGAAAACCUCAACAAAUUUUUACAUUAUAUAUUAUAGACAAAAUUUGUACAUUAUACAUAAAUAUCAAGUGUUCAAUAAUUCCCCUAUUCCAGGUGAAGGCAAACAAACUCUGCCCAUUCAUUCCGGACUUCAUCAAUUGCUUCUUGGGGGUAUGGCGCUUCCUGUUUUCCCUUGGCAUACUGCAUAAACAAUGACUAUUAGGGUUUAUAAAUAAAAAGAAAUUAAAUCACAGACGACGAUAUUUUUCAUAACCGACGUACUAUAUCUAUUCAACGACGGUAAUUUUACAUGACCGUCGUUGAUAAUACAUAAAACGACGUAAAAUGUAUGAAGGUAAUUUCUUCUUACCUUCUUCUCAAACCCCAAGGAAGGAUCCAUGAUGAUGUCCCUCAUGAAGCGCAUCACAUAAUACCCGCAUUCGACACUGCUGGGUUGCUUUGGUGUGCCUGACAGAGUUUUCCAAAUGACUGCCUUACGGCCUGGUCUAGCUAUGUGAGAAUUAUAAAUUUUUAUAGCACUGUUCACAAUGUUUUUGGCCUCUUCAUCGACCACACGAUUUCCUGGCAGAGAAUCCAGAAAAUAGACGGUUUCUCUCUUUGCUCUUACAAUCAGCAAGAUCCAAUGACGGCUGCACAAAAUUAAUAUAAAAACGACGGUUAUUUACAAAAACGACGUAUUAUAAUAUUUCACACGACGAAAUAAAGAAGCAAUCGACCACAUUAUAAAUUUAUCACGACAAUAAAUAACUACCGACGUGGUUAGUAGUUUCAAACGACUCAAUAAAAUAAAACACCGACGUGGUUAGUUUAUACGCUAUCAUUUAUUGAAAAUCAUAAAAACAAAAUCCUGUUAAGGAGACUAACCCUGGAUUGUAAGGCAUCAGGAAAAUCUGUUCACCGUCAGUCCUCUGAAGUCGAGCUGCUAGUAGGCGUGAUCUGUCAGCUAUUGUGCCAGAGCUGGCACUAACUGUAGCAGGGUCGAUAAAGCCAACCAUGGAGCACAUAUUUGCUCGUUUCAAAACAUCGUGUAAGUACCUAGAUAUAUAAAAUAAUAUAAACAAGUCAGCACAAAAAAACACACGACGGUUAUGUAUAACAAAACAACGUAUUAUAAAAUUUCACACGACGUACUGGAAUAGACAACGACUUUAUAAUAUAUUUAUCACGACGGUACAUACUAACGACGUGGUUAGUUAGUUAAGACGACGCAAUAAAUAAACCAACGACGUAUUAUUUUAGAAUGACAAACCUCAUAUAUACAAAAAACACACGACGGUUAUGUAUAACAAAACGACGUAUUAUAAAAUUUCACACGACGUACUGAAAUAGACAACGAUGUUAUAAUAUAUCUAUCACGACGGUACAUACUAACGACGUGGUUAGUUGGUUAAGACGACGCAAUAAAUAAACCAACGACGUAUUAUUUUAGAAUGACAAACCUCAUAUAUACAGCAAUGACAGUGGCUCCUAUUUCUUCCAUGCCUGCAAAUUGUGUAAUAUCUUCAGGCAGGAGGAAGGUAUCGCGCUCUAGACCAAACACCUCCUUAUCAAUUGUAAAGUGCAGGGUCUUAUCCUGAGUCACGAGUGUCGUUUCCACAUAACGACAAAGGGAUUUUAAAGAAGAUGGCGCCUCCAUAUUUUAAUAAUCAACACCUUGAAUAACCUGUUUAAAGAAAUAAAAAAAAUGACGUGGUAAUUCAAUAAAAACGACGGUUUAAGGAAUACAACGUCGUCUGAAAAGAAUUUAAACGACGGUGAAGAAACCGUCGUGGUGAAUAAUUUAUUACGUCUUAGAAAAAAAUUCCGCCGUCUAAGUUAUAAACAAACGACGGUUUAAAGAAAAAUAUCGACGUCUGGAAUUUUGAAAAACAAAUAAAAAAGGCAAAGUUAUGUGAACAUACCUGGUCGUCAUCUUCUUUCUCCUUUUCAUCUUGUUUUUCUUCUCUCUUCUCUUCAUCUAUUACGGCGGGAAUGACUAACUCCGUCGUCUAAAAACCACAAAGUUUUAAAAAUAACGACGUUUAAUGGCGUGUAAAACAAGUAAACUAAAUACGACGUGGUAUUGAAAUACAAACGACGGCUUAUUUUUAAAAUCGUCGUGGUAUGUAUUUCAAACGACGGUUUUAUUAAUAAUAACGACGUCUAAUGGUUUUUAAAAAAACAGAGAAUUCAAAGUUCAGAUAUGUUACCUUUUCUUCCUGAUGUUUCCCAUUUUUGGCAGUAUCAUCCUCAAAAUGCUGGGAUCUCACAUCACCUCCAGAGCAGCUUGCUUUGUCAGACAUUGGAUUUUUGGGACUUUGGCUAAUUCUGGGUUUAAGCAUGCUUGGAUCAAAAUUGGGAAUUAAUUGGGAAAGCUGACUCAGGAAAUGCUCCCUCUCAGCCUCUACCAAUUGUUUCGUUCUAGCCUCCAUCCUUAAAGCCUCUUCCCUUGCCUUAGCUUCCAUCUUUUUAGUCUCUUCUUGAAGGAGAACUCUUAAACUGUCCUUCAAACGGUCGUCAGAGCUCACUCUCUGUGGUUUGGGUAAAUUGAAAUAUUGCCUUGGUGAGAUCCCAGCACCUACUCCUCUCACUCUGCCUGGAUGCUCGGGGUCCAAAGCCAUGGUCAGCACAUCAUUGCUGCCAGAAACAGUGACUUUGCCUUCCGAGACUUGUUUUUGCAAUUCAUCCUAAAACAAAGAUAUAUAAAAAAGUAAGAACAAAAACACACGACGGUUAUUUAUAUACAAACGACGUAUUAUAUAAUUUCACACGACGCAAUAACAUAUAAAUCGACGUUAUUAUAAUUUAUCACGACGGUAGUUAUACCGACGUGGUUAGUUUUUAAAACGACGAAAUGAAUAAACCAUCGACGUCUUAUGCUUUAUUUACAGAUAACAGAGGGAUGAUUCAAUAUUCACACCUUUAACGACCUUGUUUAAAACAUUUCGACGUAGUAAUUCAAUACAAACGACGCGAAAAUGAACCACCGACAUCUUAUGCUAUAAUUACAGAAAACAGAGUAGUGAUUCCUAUUUAGACCUUUAACGACGUUUUUUAAAAAAUUUCGAUGGGGUAAUAUCAUUCACACGACGCAAAAUAUAACAUAAGACGUAAUAAGAAUUAUUCACAGUUUAAUAAAAAUUUAAAACAGAGUGAGUAGGCUUACAAUUAAUUUUGCUUUCUCUGCCACCUUUGGAUCCGGGAUGUUACCAUGUUUGUCCUAUCUAGCUCUCUUCCAUAAGGUAGAUCGAUCAAUUUCUACCCAAGGCAUGGUUUCCUCCUCCAAACCAGCAUAUCCUUUUCGAGACAAUCGAUGAUUGUACUCAAGUUUCUCCCUAAUCUGUGCAUGUUGAGAAUGCACAGACUCAAAAUCUUUGGAUAACCUUGAAGCUACAAAGGCAUCCCAUUGUGCUUUCUCUAUGAAUUUAUAUGUUUCAGGGGGUUGGCUUAAUCUCUCCCUGUCAUUGGUGUAUGGAAGGAUAUAAUGCCUCGUUAGUGUAGACUUGAAAUCCUUCCAUUUCUUGGCAGCAGAAGCUAACACAGAGCUCUUGCCCCCUUGACCUACCACAAAAGCAAUGUCAACUGCUUUCCAAAUCUGCUCCUUUAUAUCCUUGGGGAUUUGAGCCCAUUUCAUGUCCACAAGUGGAACUCUGGAGCGUGCCAACACACCAAUGUAGGACUGCAUCUCACUAUGUGCUUGGCCAAUUCCUUUCCCCCUUUUAUUGUACUCAACAAUUGGCCUCAGUUUCUGAAGUUUUCUCUUCACAACACGAGGCAUUGUGCUCAUACCUCGACCAGACUUUGAAUCAUCAGAGAUUGUUGUAGUGCUGGUUGGUUUUGUCUCAGCAGAUGAUGAAGCAAACUUCAUCUUCUUCGAAGGCUUCACUUGAGGAGGUACCAUUCCAAGCUCCUUACCUCCAUUUUUCUUGGAGCCAGAAUCCUUACUUUGGUCUUGGUGAGAAACCAUUUUUACAGACAAAACUGCAAGUGAAAAUAUUUCAGGAAAAGAUUAAGAACACAAACGACGGUUAUUAAUAAAAUACGACGUAUGAUAUGAUUUUAAACGACGCAAUGAAAUAAUCUCAGACGUAAUAAAUGUUUAAAACCAAGGUAAUUAAACAACGACGAAAUAAUUAACUAUAAACGACGUGAUAAUUAACUAUAAACGACGAAAUAUUUAUAUAACGUCGUGGUAUUGAUGUUCACACGACGUCAGUAGUAAUAUACCGUCGUCUAUAUAAGGAUCCAAAACCCUUCUUUCUUUCUCUGUGAAUGUUUGAUUGCAUAUUUGAUUUUUCUGAACCAUGGUUUUUGUUUUCUAAUUUGAUAAAAUACAAGGCCAAGAAAGAAAGUUUUGGAAUCUUAUAUAGACGACAGUAUUUUAAUAUGACGUCGUGGUAUUAACAUUCACACGACGUAAAAUAAUAAGAUACUGUCGUCUAUAUUAGAUACCAACCCUACUUUCUUUUUCUUUAUAUUUUAUCAAAUUAGGGAAAAACAAAAACCAUUGUUCAGAGAAAUCAAACCUGCAAUUAAACAAGCAAAUAAAAAAAAGACUAUAACUUUAAAAACAACUUUGUCAAUUUUCAGACGACGCUAGAACGACUGACGAACUGUCGUGGUCUACAUAUUUAACCACGUAAAUAAGAAGCUACCGUCGUCUUAUUUAGUUGAGGUAGUUGUCUUCAAAGUUGGAAACUUUCCCUCUUUGUCUGUAUAUUUUAUCGAACUUGGAAAGAAGUAAAAUGAUUUUGGCCAGAAAAAAGGUAAAAAGAUUUUUCAAACAAAAAACGUAUGAGCAUGCAAAACAGCAACCAAAAUAGUGAAAAUGAAAGCUUACCUUUUGCGUGCAAUGAAAGCAAGAGGAAGAUUAUGUUUAAGUUCAGAGACGACGAAGAAGACGAGAGGAAGACGAUGAGAUACUCUGACAGUGCUCUGACAAGGAAAAAAUUCUAAAAGUUUUCUCUGGGAGAUUGAAAUUUUUAAUCGGGUUUGGAAACAGCGCAUGUGUAUGUCAGGUAGACGAAAAGUUGCUUACAUAUAAAACCAUUUCAAAAAAAUAAUACGGCGGUUACAUAUAACUACGACGUAUAAAUUACAAAAUACGACGGUACAUUUAACUUCGGACGUGGUAAAUAAAUACGACAGUAGUGUUGUAGGUACCGUCGUAGUAAACUCAAAAAUUAAAGUACAUAAGUAAUAACUCGCGUCAUGGUAGAUUAUUUAACACGUCGUUUUUAUUAAUGUACCGACGUGGAUUUCUGUAAUAUACGUCGAUCAUAUCGACGUUGAUUUUACAAUUUAAACGGCGGUUUUUUUGUAAGGACCGCCGUUGGUUUUAAAAAUUUAUUAUAUAAAUUUGUCGCUUUCAUUCAUUUUCGGUUUACAUUUAGGGUUCCAAGUUCUUCCUCUCUCAGUCUCUCACGUCUCAAAGACAAUAAUUUGGAUGUCUUUCUCAAAAAGAAAUUGAGCUUACUCGCAUCAAAUAUAUGUCCACAAGAAGAAGCUUGUCAACUAGCCUUCUCACUUCCUUGAUCAAGCCUGAUAGGACACUUAGUGCUUCUGAAUACUCCUUGCUUUCCAUCAAAAGAGAUGCAAGCCUGGCCUCCACUCGCUGUCGAAGGAAAGUUCGCUUUUCAGGGAAAUCUGCUUGAUUUUCUUGGCUAAGAAGAUCCGUCAGAUUUGUGAUAGCCUCUUCCUUUAUCCGUAGAGCUUCAGAAGAAGAAGAUGGGUUUCAAGAAUGCGAUAAAGAAUAGAAAUGGCUUCAGAUGGCCUCUAAAGCAUGAGCAAUCGAAUCAGUAGUUGCUGGGAGAUAUGAUGAAGACAUUGUCAAUGCUUUGAACUAUACAAGUCCUGCAGAAAGAUAAAGGACCAAACUGUUAAAGAAACUGAAACAACGGCGGUUUUCUGUUCUACCGUCGUCUUUUCUCGUCGUCUAUAUUAAGGUAAGAUGGCGGUAGAUUUAUAAUUACCGACGUAGAUUAUUUUGUUAAACGUCGUUAAGUGUACUACAACCGACGUGGAUUUUAUUUUUAAAUUAUAAAUAGAGUUUUUUUUCCCGAAUUCUUUCAGUUUUAGUUUUCAAUUACAAAGCGUGAUAAAUAGAUUUUUCUUUCCCGAGGAAAUUUAAAAUGAGGGAAAUUAAUGUUCUUGAAUUUGUAAACUAACACGACGCAAUAUUACUAACCCGAGGAAAUUAUAAAUAGAUUUUGCUUUCCCGAAUAAAUUUUAAAUUAAUUCAGUUUGAAACAACAACGGUUUUUUGUUAUGCCGUCGUUUUUAACUAACACGACGCAAUAUUUGUUUUGCGACGUGGAAUCUUUUCAUUUAACGUCGUUAUGUUUAAUAUAACCGACGUGGAUUUGAAUUUUUAAAUUAUGAAUAGAAUUUUUUUUGCCGUGACCUUUCAGUUUAUUUUUCAAUUACAGUGCGUUAUAAAUAGAGUUUUUUUUUCCAGAGGAAAUUUAAAAUGAAGGAAAUUAAUGUUCUGGAAUAUGUAAAGUUUCUUUUUUGGAGGACAGAUUUAAAUAAAAUAAGAAUAUAAAAACAACGACUGUUUUUUUAUUGCUGUCGUCGUUUUUCGUCGUCUUAAGUAAGACUAAGACGACGUAAUAUAUUUGUUUAGCGACGUUGAUUUAUUUUUUAAACGUCGUUAGGUAUAAUAUAACCAUCGUUGAAAAUUGUCUCUCUGAUUGCAAAUUUGCAACGACGUUAGGUAUAAUAUUUGUAGAUACACAAACGCACACACAUCAUCAACUUCCAAAAAAUUGUCUCUCUGAAUGCAAAUCUGUGUCAUCUGUUAAGAUUAUGAUGUGGAACAGAGUUCCAUCUGGUAAGAUUUCGUAACCCUUGGGAUCUCAGACAAAUCUGAUUAUGUCGGCGGUUUUCUAUAUAAACCGUCGUGGUUAUUUCAAUUCUUGUCAUUAAGUAGAUCUACCGACGUAGGAUAAGAAAAUCAAAGAAAAAAAUUGUUAACAAAAAUUCUUAUUAAGACGACGGUUAAAAUUAAAUGUAUGACGUAUAAAAUGAAUAAAUACGACGUUAAAUUUUAUUGUACGAUUUAAAGAUAACGUCGUAGAACUAUACGAGAAUGACGUCCAUAUAUUUAUAUUUUCCGUCGUUGUACAUUAAUUUAAUACGGCGAUAUUUUGUAUUUUAAAGCCAUGGAUUUGUUUGUAAUUAUACGGCGUCUUAUACGAAAACCUCGUCGUGUUAUUUUAUGAGUAAAAACGGCGGUUUUUAUUGAAAUCGUCGUCUUUACUUUCUACGUCGAUCGAUUCAUAACUUCUGCCGUUCUUUGUUGGCAUUGAUUUUACACUGCGGAAAUCUGUUUCAAAUAGACGUCGGUUGUUUAAUUAUGUACGUCGUUGUUUUUGAACAGCCAUUUAAAUCUCCAUUUUUUAGUUGUCUAAGGUUGUAUUACACGACGGUGUUUUUAGAACCGUCGUCUUUUUAAAAACCACGAUGGUUUUCACUUAGACCGUCGUUGUUUUCUGGUCGUCUUUUUCACUUUUUGUAGUAGUGCGAGUUAAACUUUUAUUGAGCAUGGUGCGGACCUUGUCGUUGGUCCUGGAAUUCGGGUGAGAACGAGAUGUGAUUAUGUUAGAAGGUUAGAACCUCGUAUGUUGGAAUUGGGAAAGUUAGAUGUUGUGAGUUGCGUUUGGUAUUCAUAGUUCUUAUUUGAGUUUAUUAUUUGUCUUGCUUAAUGCAAUAUUUGGUUUAAGGGCUUUGUUGGUAGUUUGGUUUCGCUUCGGUUUAUGUGAGGGCCGAAGGCCAAGUUUGUAAAUUGCAUGAAAUUAUAUUGUGCGUGCUGCCUUUUUGGGAUAUUAAAUGUGUUUUAUGCAGGUUGAAAUUUUUGGGAUUGUUCAAAUUACAGGGGAGACUCUGCCAAAAGUUUGGUAGAAAGUCUUGGUCUUUAGUAAGUGGGCCCGGCAUCGGAGUGAUGUCGGAAUUUUCAUAGGAUUCGUCUCGGAUUUCGAGAAAUUCAGGGCGGGUCAUGUCACAAUGUACCUGCAACCCUAGAAGAUUACUAGUAACAACCUAGGCACUCGGAAUGACCCGUCAAUCUAGGCAUCCCCUGUGCUAGCAACAACUAUAGUGAAAGUGUGAAAUCAUCAUAAUCAAGUAAACACCAAACAACAGAUAAUGAUGACUAGUCAACUAUAAGGACACAAACCCAGAAUUCAUACAAUGACUAGUCAACCACUAAGAACAGAAACCCAGAAUUUAUACGAUGACUAGUCAACUACAAUUCAUACGAUGACUAUUCAACCACUAAGAACACAAACCCAGAAAAAUUACAGAGAUGCAAUCAGAAAUUAUUCACCCAGAAACCCACCAUUGGGAAAAACUGGGGGUCAUUAACCGACAAGGCAAUCCACUAAGUAGAAAAAGAUUCUUACAAAGGAACACAAGCAAGCUUAAGAAAAACCUAGAUCUAUUUAGGAAGAUGAGCUAUACCUCCUUUGUGCAAUCUUCUUCUCCAACUUAGCAAAGCUUGAAGGUCAGUUCUUCAUGGCAAUGACAGCUCUUUCUCCAGCUCAUUCAUCCCAUGGCACCGGCUUGCAAGCUCUAACUCAGACAGAAACCAAAAUUUGGAUUCAAAGGAGAAUGACCAAUUUCUUCAAGAAACCAUAUACUCUUGAAGAAAUCAAUCUUGAAUCUGACCUAGAUAUAUAUGAGAGAGUGUUUGAUCUAGCAAGAUGAGGUUUUCAUAUUUCAAAUGCAGUUUUCAAAAAGAAACAUUUUGGAAAACCCAAAGAUGAAAAAUAUGAAGGUUACACUUGAGGAAGAAGAGAAAGGUUACAGAGAAACUUUCCAAAACUUGCCUGAAAAGUGACAACUGCCAAAUGAGGAAUCCUUUGGCCUUUACACCCAAAAAUUCCUUAGGUCAGAAUCAACACAUGGUAGCAGAGAGAGAAAGGAGAAUAGGACAAAAUAGUUGGUUAUCCAGUUGGAAAUCUUACAGAGCAAGGAUGACUAGUCAUACGAGAAACAGAUGACUAGUCAUUAUUUUAUGAAAUCAAUUUAAUGCAAUCACAAUUUACCUUUGUCAAUUUGCUUGAAUCUCCAUAGGAUAAUUGUUAGUUAAGAACACCUAGAGAAGCUAUUCUUAAUCUAAACUUGAGCUUGAUAAAAACAAUAAUAAUUCUAUCACAAAAUUGUCAAGGGAAGCCAAAAGAAAAACCCAAAAUACAUACAUUAACAGUACACCCUACUACCAAACUAUUUAUUAAAUUACUAAUUUACCCUAAUAUAAACUAAAAACAAAUAUAUUGAAUUGUGAAACAAAUAUAAUUUUAAUAAGUGCACCUUACUAACGCGGAACCUUUGGUUGUUUUUUCUCAAUUUGCUUGACUUUUCUUUUAAGCAUCCCACAUCAUUUAAAAAAUAUCUAAAACAUGACACCCCAUAUUUUUGCCUACAAUCUUCUUCUCCAUCUUAGCAUUUGGACAGCCGAACUCUUUUCUCUCUCAAAACCAAGCCCAGCAGAACCUCUUCUCCUUUCAAUCACUCUUCUUCUCCAAGCAUAUAAUUUUUUCAUUUUUCUCAUCUUUCAAUUCAGGAAAUUUUCUAUAAUAUUGGAAGCCCCUUGUAAAACUUGUUUUCUCCUAUUUACCCCCACAAAAGUAGCCACACGAAUCAUAUUGGGACUUAAUUAUAUCAGCAAGCAAGGCAAUCAAAGUUGUUUUUUGGUUUUUGGAUAUUGGAUUCAAAAAACAAAAAAUUAUUUUUAAAAAAUCAGAAAGAGAAAAAUUAAAAAAACAGACUGCAUGAAAUACUGUGUUUCUUGGGAAAAAAAAUUAAAAACCCCCGAAGCUGCAAAAUUGAGUGUUUUAAUAAGAAUGAUUCCCUUACUGAGUAUUACUUAUUAUUUGAUUUAGGAUCAAUAUCAAAGAAUUCUAUUGAACGUUUUUGUGCUAUUAGUUAUAUUUUGGAUAUAUAAAAAAGAACAAUAUUGUCCAGAGUGUACAGUUAAAAACUUUGAGAAUCAAAGUAUGGGGAAAGGGAUCGUGGGGAGAUGAAUGUUGUUGGUCUUUUUUUGAAGAGGUAGUGUAUUAGGGUGUAUUAAGGGUAUUUUUGAUAGUUAAAUAGGGUGUACUUUGUUAAUUUUAUAUUUUAAUUAGGGCGUACUCAGUUAAUUUUAGGGUUUAUUUAGCAGCACUCAUAAAUUAUCUCUUUAAAAAAUCACACAAAUUAACAGGUAUUUUUGUAAAGCUCAAUUUGUAUUGUAUUUCAACAAUUUGAAUCGUCUAUGUCAUAGAUUAUAUCGCUUUAAAAAAGCACCCAAAUUGAACUUUUUUAACCAUUUGAUUGAAUAGUAGUUAUUUAUUAAGUAUGUGUCUAUUUGUCUCAUCACAUUUAUAUAUGUUUGAAUGGUUUACAAUUUGUUCAAAUAAAUGAAAUGCAAAGUGGGUGAACCCUAGAAAGUGUCGUAUUUGAAAAAUAUAUAAAUAAAAUGAUAACCUUACACAUAUUUGUUUACUUUAUAUAAAUAUCACCACAAACAUAGAAUAAACAGUUGCAAAACAACAGAAAACUUCUAAAUGAUUACUUUUAUAUAAAUAUCACCAUAAGCAUUUUUCAAACAUCUAGCAUAUUGCUGAAACAUCUAUCGCUAGAUCACAUCUUACAAAAGUUAUUCCUCUGUAUUUUUUAUCACGAGGGUCUAAAUUGUUACUAAAAUUAAUCGUCAAUUGUUCAAUACAUAUAAAUUACUAAAUGAUUUUCAAUUGAUUGAUUUUUCGUAAAAAUGAUGUUUAAAUUAUGAUUUAUUAGGAAAUCAACAAUUCCGAUUAUCAUCAAAACCUUUUUUUCAAGCUGCUGAUGACUUGAUCAUAUCUUCAGUUUCGAAUUAAUGAGAGAGAGAGAGAGACAGUAAAAACUUUAAAACACACACGAUGGAGUAGUACUGAUAUUACAAGUAGGGAAUAAUUAGAAAGAUGUUGGAGUACAUACCAAAUGGACUUCAUUCACACAUAAAUAUACACACACUAUACUAUACUAUACUAUUCAUACCGUAUAAUUAAUUAAGCCGCAUGCUUCCCUUAGUAAUAUAAUUAAACAGCUCUAUAUCUAAAGCUGUAGGAAGAUUUAGCUUAUAAACAAAGGAUCAAUAGUAGCCAGGGUAUUGGUUUCAGUAGAAAUGCAUUCAUGAUCAUAUUCAGUGACCAAAAUCGGUACUUUUUGUGACCAACUAGCUGGCCACUAAUAAACGUUUUUCUUGUUAGAGCUGAUGAUAGGCUUAUUGUAAUUAGGCCAUUGCAGCUUCUGUGGAGGUCCAUGAUUCUCCAUGUUGGCUGCCGCUGCUGCCGCCACUGCGCCUCCAUAUAUACCUUCUGUGGAGGUCCAUGAUAAUCCUGAGAAGGUGUAGGAGAAGAGGAAACUUGAUUCCCCAUGUUAAUUACAACUUAAAACUGAUUACAAGUUUUGCUUUGAUUUGAAUUCCUUGGGGUCCAAGCCUCAUUAUAUAGUAGUCCCAUUACUCACACAAGCUUAUAAUAAUACUUCACCCUUAGGGGCCCGCAGAAUGUAUAUGAUGUUAUAUAGGACUUGCAUGCACAUUCUGCUUAAUUAAUUAAUUAUAAUUCUUUGCGUAAAAUAAAUGAAAUUAAUAGUGCGCUUCUGGAUUUAGUAUAUAUGCUAUACAUGCUUUAUUCUUCUCAUACCAUUAAAAAAUAGAAAAAAGAGGAUUUGCAUGAGUCAGUAAUAAUUUGAUUCCGUACUCCAUAAUUUUCUGCUUUAUAUUUUUAGUUUAUUUUUUAAUUGGCCUAUUCAUCUUCUCUAGGCGUUUGUUAGUCAUCUUAUUGAUAUUUUCAUAUUUGAUUCAGUACUCCAUAAUAAAAAAUAAAUAAAAAGAGGAAAGAAUAGCUAUAUUGAAUCUUGUUUUCCUGUAUCCUCUAGUGCUUUUUUGUUAUUGCAGUUAUGAUAUUAGAUUGAGUGUGAGAUAAAUGAUGAGCAGACCAAAAACAAAACGAAGAUAUGUGUUUCUAUAUUAUUAUAACAAUAAGAUCUCUUCACCUUUCGAAAUGAUACUUGCAUUUGAUAUUUCUUUAUUUAUGAUAACACCUUUCAUUGUAAAUUAGCUUUCUAUAUAUUUCUAGAACUAUUUGGUGAAUCAGAUCGAUUCACCUAUGUAACACAUAUAUAUAUGUGUGUAUGUUGACAGGUCUAAUCAAUCUAAUAGGGUUUGUUGUCGUAAUUUUAAAGGAGUUCAAGCCAGACAAACACACAUACAUCCACGUUAAAAUUCACAUUGACCAUUAACGCGUUGAGUUAAACUUUAUAUCACAUCACCAUCUUUUAAGUUAAACUUUAAGUGUCGUAUUGAUCACAUUUGCUAACUCAUCGAUAAAGAUAAAUCUCUCACUUUUAUAAGAAAUAUGACCCACGAAUGAUGAUGGGUAAUGAAUGUGAAACUAUAAUAUGCGCACGCACCCACACCAUUUCUAUAAGGAUGAGAAAUUGCCAAGUCAGUCUAUGGCGAACCUCUAGAAUUAGGAGUAGUCAGUAUAGUGCAUCUGAUACCAGCGCUGACCUUUUCGCUCUCUACUUCAACUCUAUAUUUCUUCUUUAUUAUUUUCUUACAUGAAUAAAAUUCUUUGAUAUUGCAAGGAAAGUUGUUUUCUUCCUUUCUUUUGUGCUAUUUUUUUAAUAAUAAUAAAUUUCCUUGAAAAGUGAUUACAUAACAAACAAGAGAGAGUAUGCAAGAGAGGAGGGGCUAGCUUUAAAUAUAUUUUAUAUAACAUGAGAAGUGAUUUGUACAUAUAAUUACAAGCUGACACAUAUACAUUUAGGUGCAGAAAAUAAGCUAUCCAAACCAUUUCUACAUCUGAUAUACAUACAUAUACUAUAUUACAGAGAGCUUCAUUAGUUAACUAAUUACUUAUACCAAACUAAGUUGGUAAUAAUUAGCGGCGAAUCUUGGGGUUACUCUAUCUCUAUCCAUCGAAAUAGCAGGGCUGCAUCCUUGCUAUUAAGAACAGCCUGAUCAUUCCUAAGAGGAGUUGGGUGUCUCCCUGCACGAGCUGGUUGGUCUUGAGAAAAUGGAGGCCUCUUGCCUGGCCGGCCAUGGAACUUGUCUAGCAUGGCAAAAGCCUGCCUUCCAAGCUUUGCUAGCUCUUCAUGUUCAGUAAUUAACACUCCCCCGUAGAUCUCUGCUGCCUCAGUGCUACUAAGAUAGACGUCCUUUAUCUGAUGAGGCUUCUGAGCUGGAACUUCCACCGUCUUUACAGGCCUUCUGAUCUGACGAUGAGGAGGAGGAACAUGAUUUUGAUCCAUGUUGGGGUAUGGAUAAUAUUGUACCUGUUGAGGAGGAGGAAGAGGCCUUACGGUGACAGUCUUGGUGGGCCAGCCGCCAUGGUACUCGUCUCUCAUGGCAGGUGCUGGGAAGUAUGAAACUUCUUCUGCAGGGUAGACAUGAUCAUAUAGCACGGGACAUGUGUGCCUGAUAUGAUAAAACAUUUUCUCCUCUUUCAUGGUCAUAAAGCCAUGCCUUGCCUUACUGAAACAAAGGUUAAGAGACAAGCAACAUUUAUAGUCGUGAGAGUCACAGAAGCUCACAAGUGGGCUAUCUGAUCGAUCGUGUGAUUUUCUUUUGAUGCUUUUCUUUUUCGUAAAAUAAUAAAAAGUAAUUCUUAUACUUUAGGGUCUGUUUGUAAUAGCUAACUAGUAAUUAACUAGUAGUUCUAAUAGCAUAUUGAUUCCCCAUAUUGAUGAUAUUUUCUGAGAGUUGAUGAUAUUUUUCUCAAGUAAAAAGGCUAUGAUUCCCCAUAUUGAUGAUAUUUUCUCAAGUCCUUGGUGAAUCUGAUUCCUCAUUUGACCCAAAAGGACAAUUAAUAAUUGAAGAUCAAUCUACAUCUAUAUCAGCCAGGGAUUUAUUAAUUAAAACAAAAUUAUUUUAUACAUAUCAUUUGGUCGUUGAAUAAUGCUACUCUUAUCACAUUUGUAUACUACAUUCUCAUACCACCUUAUGUGGCAAAUGAGGUGGACAACUACAUUAAUUAAAUUUAUUUAACAUUUUCUUUUCUUUUAUGAUUUAUUAACACUUUAAAAAACACUGUUAAUUAACAUUUCUUUAUUAAAAAUACACUUCAUUGAUUUAAUUGAUGUGACAUAUGAUAUGAACAUGCCACAAUAUGUGAUAUAGAAAUAUGAGAUAAAAUGUGAGAAGUGUAGCAUUACUCUUUGAUAGUUUAGUAAAACAGUGUUAUUGUGUUAUAUAUACUGUCUACAUAAGUCUGGAAUAAAAGGCUAUCAAGUUCUAUGAAAGCUUAAGAAAGUUUAUUAAAAAAAUUAUACAGAAGUCUUCUGAAAGUCUAUCAAGUUCUAUACGAAUUAUAAAGUUCCAUCAAGUUCUAUGAAAGCUGGCACUUAAACAAAAUCUUUUUAAACGCUCUAGAAUACUAAUGGAAUACACCCCCCUAAGCUAUUAAAUUGAUUGUUUGGUUAGACGUUAACUGAUGUCGUGUCAACUGUGGGACCUACUUACUAACCAAUCCCAAUAUAUAUAUAUAUAUAUAAUUAGAAGAAAAAAACCUUAAAAAACCUAGCCUCCUCCCUACCUAGCACCCCCUAUUCCCCACCCCAUCACGACGACGCCUACUUCCCAACCUCCGUCUCCCACCCUUUCUCCCUCUAUCUCAUUUCCGUCUCUCAGACCCUCCGUGACACCGUUUCGCUAUCCCAGAAAUGCCAAACCCCCAAUCUCUCCGUCGGCAAGCUCCGCACUCAACGUUGAUUCAAUCCUCACUCGCCUCCACUACCACGUCGUCAAGAUUUUGAUCAAGAGUGGCAUCCCCCUCGACGCCGAGGUUUGCUCAGUAAUUAGCAAACCAGUGGCCAAUCAUGGUAAUUAUUAGGGGUGGGCACUCAAACAGGCGAACCGAAAAUCCGAGCCAAACCAAAAAAAAAUCGAGUUGACUAAAAAGUCAACAAUUGGUCAAAAACCGAAUCGGACCGGUUUCGGAUCCAGUUCCAUGUCUUCAAAAAUUGGACCGGGCCUAACCAAACCGGUCAAAUUAAAAAUAUAUAUAAUUUCAAUAUAUAUUUAUAUUUAAUGCUAUAUUUUUAAUUUUACUUAAAAAAAAACUAAUAUUUAUCCAAGUUCAAUUUCAAAAUAUCUCUUUUCUAACUUUAAUAUUUAUUUUUACAUAAAAUUGGAUAAUUUGUUAAUUUUCAAGUAAAAUAAUAAUAUUUCAUUUGAGAAUUGUAUUAAAAAAUAAUUUUUAUAAUCCAGUUCAAAACCAAACCGAAAUCGAAAUCGGACCGGAACCGAUUCAAACAGAACUGGACAGUUUUUGAAAUUUUUUUAUUAAAACCGAACCAAACCGAACCAAACCGGAUGAAUAGUACCAGAUCGGUUCUAAUUUGAAGCAAAAACCAGUCCAAACCAAACUGUGUCCACCCCUAGUAAUUAUUUUUCUUCCAAUUUUUUGUGGGUUAAUAGUUAUACCAGAAUAUUGCAAAGGUUGGGUGAUUCUCUAGAUUGUAUUGCAGGGGUUGGGCCACCAUGUGUGGUUCUGUAUUUUUGUUUGUUCUUUGUGAUUUUGCUGGGAUGGGAUUAUUGCUCGAGUUGUAUGGUCAGGAGUGGGGUGGAUCGCGUUGCUGUUUGGUGUGACUUGGUGGGUGUGGGCGCUGGUUUAAUCGUACAAAUGGAGCUUCUUGUUGGUGGUUUCCCUUUAAUGAUACAUGUAGUUUGUUUCAGGAAUUUAUCGAGACAAUAUUAUAAAAUAUCAAUAAUAUCGACGAAAUAUCGAGGAUAUUAUUGUUUUUUCAGAUCACGAUAUUUCGGAACAUAUCCAUACACAUAUUGUAUAAAUAUCGAUAAUAUCAAAAAAUAUCGAUGUCCAUAAUUUCGCUCACACUUCAGCAAUAUUUUGUCAAAAUAUCGCUAUAAUAUCGUUAUAAUAUCGAAAAUAUCAAAAAUAUCAAUGUAAUGCAAAAAAGGAAAAAUAAAUCAAAAAAUAAAGCACACACGCAAAGAAAAUUCAAACCCUUGCAAUUUCACUCAUCCAACGCCUUAACCACCAUGUUGCUUGUGUUUUUGAGAUAAUACGCAAAAGGGAAUUCUAUAUGGCACUAAGUCAUUCAUGUAUCUUACUAUGCAAUGUAUAAAGUGUAAAAUAUUAUAGUAAAUCAUUAUAUAUAAAUGAUUAUGGUGUGUUUAAUUAUCUUUCAUUAAUUACAUACAUAUUUUCUACACUCACAGUGUUUGUCAGCUCGCUAUAUAAUCAACUUAAAUCAGUUAAACCCAUCAUGCAAUGCAUUUCCUUCCAAUUUUUUGUGAUAAACUAAUAGAUAAUUGAAUAAAUAAACAUCCUCCAAAGUUUCAAUAAAAAUUUUCAAGUUUUUCUUACAAUUUCCGUGAUUUUUAUUCAACUUUUAUCAAUAUCGAUAAUAUCCCAAUAUUUCCAUUCAAAUUUUCGUAUUUUUGGACUACCGAUAUUUCCGAUACCAUCGAUAUUUUAGACAUUGAUUGAGAUAACUAAGGAGCCCGGAGUCAUUUUUGGUAGCCAAAUUUGAUGGCAUACUUGGACUUGGAUUUCAAGAGAUAUCAGUUGGAAAUGUUGUACCUGUGUAUUUCAUGAGAUUAUGAGUUUCGGCUUUGUUUGAGUCAGGUUGUGUUUUCAUCAAUAGGAAUUAAGAGAUUCCAUCUUGCUAUGUUUCUCAGAGGUGGAGGUGGCUGAGUUGAGGGGAUGGGGAACAUGGGGGCGCUGGGUUGUUGGGCAAGGAAGGGGUUGGGAAUUUUUAAGUUUUUUUCUUUUUUUAAUUUCUGAUUAUUCUUAUGUUAUUAUUUUAUAUAAUUUUUUUAAUUUAGGUAUUGGUUAGUAAGUAGGUGUCACAGUUGACACGUCAUCAAUUAAUGUCUGACCAAAUGAACAACUUAACGGAAGGCUUAAAUUGGUCAGAUUUGAAAACAUUGAGGUGUAAAUUGAUGAAAUUGAAACCCCAUAGUCCAUAUUGAGAAUGAUCCCAAACCUUCAGGAAGUCUAUUGUUAUUAGCCCUAAAUUAAAUUAACUCUUUUUUUUUGCCCUUUUUUACAAGGGGAGUAUAGAAGAUUUCAUUUCAUGUAAAAAAUAGUUGUGAAGCUGCAAAAAUGAUUGAGUGAUACUAUCAAAUAGCAAUAUUUGUGUAACAGAGUUUUUUAAAUAGUAUUAUGAUUGUAACAAGGUUUUCAAAUAGAAGUAUCAUUAUAGCAAAUAGUCUCGUUAUAUCGAUAUCAUGUCGAUAUAUUGCCAAGACUAUUACUACCUAUAGUGUCUAUUAUUUCGAUUACAAACAGUCUUUUUUUUUGUUAUUGUUGAGAAAUUCUAGAAUUGUAUUCAUAAUUCAGCCAAAAAUGCCACAGCCAGAAAUGACCAUUACAAUAACAAAGCGGUCUAACAUCUAAAUUAAGACAAUCUGGUGCACUUUCACUAACGAUCAUGCAUGAUCGAAGAAACUCUGACAUAUGCAUUUCAAUUAAGAUUGCAAAAUAAUCAAAAAGAGAUAAAGCUUGAAAAAACCAAGCCAUAACAAUACAAAUAAAACUCUCAUAAGAAAGAGAUGAAAAGUUCUCACAAAGGAGAGGUAAAAAGCUCUCACAAAGAAGAAGUGAAAACUACACAUAGAACCCAAAGAGUCUCUGUGACUUAUUCUAAACAUAAAGAAAUCACAACAAGGAUGGUGGUGGAGAUCUGAAGCCGAGACGCAGCUGCUUGUGAUAGUUGGAGGAAAUCAUAAUAAAAUAAAGACAAAUAGGAAAAACCUUUUGUCUCUCUGAAAAUGAGGGGAGAAGAGAAGGAGGGAGAGAAGAAGGGAGAGGGGAGGAAGAACAGUGGCUUCCUUCACCUCCAAAGUGAAAACGGAUUUAGGAGAGUUUUUGGGAGAGAGGGGGCUAGGGUUUGGAAGAGAGAAAAUCUUUUGUCUACAAUUUGAUACCUAACGUUUCAAUAAAACAGUCUAAAAGUUUCGAUAUGAUUUAAACAAAGUAUAAAUAUUUUGUCCAUAUUGUCAGUUUGCUGCAGUAAUAGUGGUAUUUGAGAGGAAAUUCCUCAAAAUUAUUAGGUGUGCCUAAAUUCAGGUCCAUACAUCACUAGUAAAAUGAUAUAUGUGAAGUUACUAUAUAUUAGUAGAUCCUACAAGUGUAUGGCGAAAUGUUCUUCGAAACGACGAAGGCCAUCCCUUACAAUAAUGAAGUUGCCUGUCUGAGUCUUACAGCAGACUCUUGGUGUUAUAAGUGCCACUGAUGUUGUUGUUCUUGAUGUAAAUGUCACUAAGCUUCACUUGAAUCAGCAUUUGACAAAUAUAUACAACAGAUAAAAGGAAAAGAAAAACACACACACAUAUAUAUACCGAAAGAAUAAUUUAUAUUAUUUAUAAAUUUUGGGGGGGCCAUGGCCCCUCUGGUAAUCAGAAGCACACCGAGACUGAUGCUGCAAAAUAAUAAACCUUCCCCGUUUGAUGAUAGAAUUCAUAGUUUUGUGAGUCUGUAUUUUGGAUGUAUUUGGGAGAGAAUGGAUGAGAGAACGUUGCUCUCUGUGAAAAACAGAAAAAUUGGAAGAGUGAAGUCUGCUUUUCUUUCAUUACCAGCAACCAAAAAUAUAACCGUUGAGGAGAGAGAAGAGAGAUUCUUCUCUAACUGCCUCUAUACAAGAUUUAAUCCUAGCCAUUGAACUAUCAUCCUAUAAGAUGAUUACACUUGUCACAAUCUAACACCUCACUUAAGAAGCCACUUGGACUCUAAUCCAAUGGUCCUUAUUACAAACAGCAGAAAAGCUUUUAAACUAAAACAGAGACAUUCAAAACGAAAUGCGAUUAGGCGGCAAGGGGUUUUAGCUCAGCUCAAAGGGGUUACACAUCAACAUUUGAGAGAUGAAUACAUAUGCAUCAACCCCAGAGACACCCCCAAUAUUAAAUCUUCUUCUUAAACCCAAGAUGCUCUCCUCAUCCUCUUCAUGUAUAUAUACAUACGUAUAUGUAGCCAAGCAGGACAAGGGUGCUUGUCUUCAACUAGAGCAGGCGUUUAAUGGCAGGCUGGUGGGUUUUGUAUGCCACCAAAUCCUACUUCUGCAUUUUUGCAUAUGGAGGUGAUAGGCCCGCCAUUGCUGGGACCAAUGUAGUUCAAAUUGAUGUCCCGAAGCUCAACAUUUUUGCAAGGGAACUGGCUGCUGCAAAUGAAAUCCACUGCAAUCUUUGAUGCUGUGGUCCCUUUGAUGUUUAUGUAGUGAACAUUGCUGAUCUGUACGCGUGAUGGCUGCAAAAAAUUCAACGAUAGAACGUUAAAAAUUUAAGAUUAGGAUAAGUCAUGGUUCGAUCUCAUUCGAUGUACUAGAAAAUUGGUAAAAUUGAAGAAGGUAGUAGUUUGUGAAAAGGAGGCAGGUUUGAAGAGAAUUAGUUAAAACAAACCUGGUUCUUGUUGCAGCCCCCUGCGCAAUACUCUUGGUCAAUUAUGAUGGGUUUCUUAACAUUCUGCAUGAUAAGGUCCUGGAAAAUCAUGCCUGAGGCUCGGCUUGGGGUCGAUCCUGGCCAUGAUUUGAUUCUAAUCCCAUUGUCUGUGUUCAAAAACGUCGUCUUCUUCACGAUGAUCCCCGUCACGUCAUUUUCAUUCUGAUACUUGCCAAGGCUACCGAUACUGCCAUCCGUAAAAAUGGGCAUACAAAUUCAGCCAUGAGACAAUUUGAUAUGUUAUGUUGAUAGACCGAGAAAUAUGGACUAUUAACGACGUUACAAUAUUAUAGCAAAAGGGUUUCGAAGUCAUUAAGAAUUGAGUUAUGCAUGUACCUGAUGCCAUGUCCAGGGCCACAGACAACAUUGUUGAUGGCAACGUUGGUGGAUCCCUGAAUCAUGCCAAUGCAAUCAUCACCAGUUCCAAUGUGAACUCUGGCGAUCUUUAUGUUGUUGGAGUUGCUGAUGUGGAUGCCGUCAGUGUUGGGGCUUGUGUCAGGGGCAGAGAUGUUCACUCCUCGCACCCUAAUGUUCUGGCUGUUAGUGAGGAAAACGUGAACUCCUUUGCUGUUAAGGGAGGUGAUGCCUCGGAUGACCCCGUUUUUGACACCGUUAAAUUUGAUGCUCUGCAUAAUUAUUUAAGUAAAUAAAUUAAUUAAACUAAUAGUUAAGGUCAGUUUCUUUCUUAUGAUGGUAUACAAUUUAGAAGUUAAUUAUAAAUCAUUAAAUUAAACUUACAGCUGGGAGUGGACUGCAACUGCUGCAGCCAUCAAUGUUUUUCCAGGAACUUGAACCUUGCCCAUCAAAGACGCCAUUGCCUGUGAGGACCAAGCCCUCUACAUGUUCAAACAAGAACCAGAAUGGUUCUUCAUACAAGGAAAUAUCAUUCAGGCCUUUGAUGGUCCCUGAAACUUGAACAACAAUGGGUUUUGAGCAGCUGCAUGGCCCUUGAAAUAUGACUGGCCCAGUCUUGAAAGUCCCUUUUGGGAUUACAACCCUUGAUCUCCCGGUGUGGUUGCGGCAUGCUGCAAUCCAUGUUUGUAUGAAAGCCUGCGCAAUUUAAAACCAAAAACCAUCCAUUUCUCUCAUUAGACCCAAAAUUUAAUUAUCAUAAUUAAGUGUGCGAAUAAUACUAAUAUUACUAGAGUCACUAAAUUUUUACAAUGCUUGAAUCGCCAGACCCAUCAGGCUUGGCGCCAUGAUCCAACACGUUAAAGAUUUUCUCUGUAGGAUCCACUUUGUCAUGGACACCCAAAUUAGUGCCACGGAAAAUAUCGGGCACAACCAGGGUAACUGCGGUUGCGGCGGCUUGACAGGCCAGUGCAGCUAAGCACAAGAUAAGAAUGGCGUGGCUCGACAUUCCUGCAAUGGCCAUGGUCCCCCCUUCAAAUUCUAGGUCUUACGAACUAUAUAUCUAGCUAUGAUUGGUAAAACAAAAUAAGCCUCCGGGGGACGAGGCUGUUAUGAAGAUGAAUUAAUUCUCUGUGUGCGUGUUAUUUAUAGGUGCUUGUUUUCAUGUCGCUAAUUAAACCAAAAUUUUUAAUGGCAACCGCUGCUGUGUGUGAGGAGGCUCGAACUAUACGGUGAAGGUUGGAUUAAUUAGUUUUGUCAUUGUUGGUUUUUAGUUGGUUUGCCUAAAAUUGGAGAUAUGCUUUGUGUGUGUAUGCAUGGUGCAAUGUCGUCCUUCACUCCCUCAGUUGUAGCCUACUUCUUCUCCAUUUUGCCUUCUUUUUCAUAUCUUUGCCUCGCCCACCAAAUUAUCACCAGCAUUUUACCCACCAGCAUAUGGCAAGAUACCGAAAGCGGCAACAUAAUUUGUUUUGUUUUAUUUUUUCUUUUCUCUUUUUCCUUUUGGUUAGAACAAGAAAAAAAAAGAACUGGGCUAAAUUAUAGCAAUGCUCCCUGGACUAAGACCAAACUUUACUUAUUGUCCAUCAUAUUAUUAAAUUGUUACGGUGGUACUUUAAUUAUGUCUCCAUUUUCAGAAAUCGUCAUUUCCGUCAUCUCAGUCAACUUUUUCGUUAAAAAUGAUGACAUGACAAUGACAAGUCCUACUUGGCAUGGACACAAAUGUCUUUUCACACAAAAAAUUUAAAAAUAAAUCAAAUCUCUCCCUCUCUCUCUCUGUGAAAACCCAAAAGGUGAUGGAAGGUGAUCCAUCCUCCCACUAAGGAGACGGACAAUGCAAGCGGCCCACCUAAAUACCAUUACAAGAAAGAUCUUAGUUGUAGGAAUAAAUAAGUGCCUAUUUCAUCAUGAAUUUCUUUUUUUAAUUGCUUUUAUAAAUAGUAGUUAUGUUUUAAUUAUCAGCGAAGACAUGGAAACCAUUGGUUCUAUUGAGUACAUGAUGAAAUUAACACAAACAAUACUAGGGGCAUAAAAAGAACACCAUGAGAUUAUCAACAAAAUAAUAAUCACCCAUCAACCAGAUUAUCUGCAAAUUGAAAUUUCAUCACUUGAAAUAUGAAUACCCAUCAACCCUCAGCUUCUCUGUUUUGACCAUAUUUGAGGUGAAGGAUGGGGGCUGGGGUUCUGGGUUCAUGGGUGCUGGGGUUGCGGGCUACGAUAGAGGGUGGUAGUGGGAUAGGUUUGAGGGUUGGAGCUUGUAGGUGGUAGUCAUGGGGGAAGAAGAAAUCGUCAGGGGAAGAGGGAGAGCGCACAGGAGGAGAGAGAGAGAGAGAGAAAGAAAGAGAGAGAGAGAGAGAGAGAGAGAGAGAGAGAGAGAAUUAAUUUAACUAAGUUGACGGAAAGACCAAUGAUGCAACAUGAGAUCUAAUUGAAACACCAUCGUAACAAUUUAACAAUAUGAGAGACGAAAAGUAAAGUUUGGUCUUAGUCCAGGGACCAUUGCUAUAAUUUUGCCAAAAAACUAUUUGCGAUAGGUUCCCACUUCUUGUUUGACUGGUCUAGAUAUGCUUGUUUUUAUAAGGAUAUUUUCUUUUGGCAAAAAAAAAAGAAAAGAAAGAGGAUAUUUUCGGAGAGUUGAUGAUAUUUUUCUCAAAUAAAAAGGAUAUGAUUCCCCAUAUUGAUGAUAUUUUC